RNAcentral lists this long non-coding RNA (58209 nucleotides) under Coffea arabica (coffee). RNAcentral's name for it is "long non-coding RNA (CARA_LNC006424)". Lineage: Eukaryota; Viridiplantae; Streptophyta; Magnoliopsida; Gentianales; Rubiaceae. The record is from RNAcentral.
ACAACAAAAGUUGGGUAGUGUGGCUUAUGAAACUACUAGUGAUCAGUUAGUGGCUUUAAUUUGCAUGGACAAGAAUUUGAGUUUUUUUUUUUUUGGGGGUGAUGCUCAAUAUUUUUGGACAAGAGAAAUCAGAGACCAGAUAUAUGAUGAGAAGCAAAAUCUGGUGACCAUCACCGUCGUGUGCUGUAGCCCCGAGAAAAUCCGCGACAAAUUAUGUUGCAAGGGUGGCAAAGUCAUUAAGAGUAUUGAGAUCGUGGAGCCACCAAAGCCCAAGCCACCGCCGGAGAAGCCUAAAGAGCCCGAAAAGCCCAAGCCACCGCUCGAUGAGCCGGAUGACACCACACAGUCAGAGAGACCCACAGUUAGAGUAGUUGAAAAGUCGAAGACACCUGUUUGGUGGCUUGUUUGUUGUUGGGGAAUACUCUGAAGUAUUUUUGCAGGAGACUUUGAAGUCUGGUAUCAGAGCCAGAUUCUAAGGAGAAAACUAGUUACAAUGUCAUCCUUAACAGCAUCCUUAUCUUCUUCUGAUCUCAUUUUACAUAAAUCUAAUUCUAAUAAGUUAGAUUAUCUAUAUGAAAUAUCCAUUGAACAAGAAGCAGUAAAUCCAACCUCCUUACCCCUUAUUAAUCCUUAUUCUGCAUUUGGAAAACAAGCUUUCUCACUAUUAAGGGUCAUCAAAUACUUAAUCAAGCAUCAUCCAAAAGGAGUACGAGAAUAUAUCCAGGCCUCCAAGGUUGAUCAGCAUCAUAUCCUUGCUACAAAAAAAAAACAAUUUAUCCCUCUCUUUAUCCCACCAAACUUUCUUUCUCAAUGGAAGCAACAAGGAUUCACUCAUAUUUAUUUUGGUGCCAUACGUUUUUCCUUAUCUUUGCAUGAAAGAAAAGGUUUACGCAUGGUUGCUAGAAUAGCUCUAUUGGAUACAAGAUUCAAAAAAUAUCAACAUGCAUGUAUUGCGAUAGUCGAAACAACUCUAGACGCAGGAACAGUUUUUAUAACCUUGUUUCCAAAUUUUAAUACGUCUUCAACUUAUGUACCUUUUACUAACGAAAACUCAAAUACUAUAAACAAUCGAAAUUCGCUUCAACCCUGAGUCGUCGCUCAAGUCUCAAGUUCUCUCGUUUAACCCUUGAGCAAAAAUUUGGGCAGCAUGUCCUUUGUAUUUCGCUAUUUUUCAGGCAUUUAUGGUUUCAUUUUUUUUCUCAAUUCAGCCCAAAUUCAACACAUAAGCAAGCUUAACAAAAUAACUCUUCAACUAGGCCCAAUAUUAUCCAAAUACAAGUCAAUUCUAGCAAUGAAACCAUCAAUAUCAAAGCUGGAAACCAGUUUUAAAAAAGAAAUUAUAAGUGGCAGAUGUGUCAUCCUUCGGUAUUUUGAUCAUAACUGCAGUUAGAUAUAUUGGAUCAAGGUAAAUUUUAUGGCGUUUUGAAACUAAAAUAUAGACCUACAUUUUCUAUAAAGACAUUAACACCCAAUUCUCGCAUUUUCAGGGUCAAAACAAGACUGUCAGAAGUACAUGAAAACAAGUCAGGAAUAUUAGAGUUUUUUUUUUUGUGCAGUUAGGAAUGCUCUGGUUAAAUCCUAAGCUAACAUGAUCUGAUUGAUCUGAAAUUUUGUAGGUAGAAAGUUAACUCAAAACCCUAUAACUUUCAUGUUUUGUCCAAAAGCUAAUUCAAUCUAAAACAUGGAGAAAUUUGCAGCCCAGCCUGAUACCAAAAAUAAGGCUGAACUGAAAUUCCCUAUCACAUGCUGGAAUUUCAAAUUUUAACAUUACAAAGUCACACUCAAACCCAUAAUCACUUCAUAAGUUCCAUUUUCAAGUUCAAUAACAUCAUUUACUAGUUAAACAACACUAAUCAAAACUGAAGAAGGCAAACCCUAGUUGAAAAUUCUACUACACCAUCAAAAACUAGAAAAUCAACCAUAACAAGUCAAAAUUAAAAACUUCUAUAUCAAAAUUAGCAAGAUUAAGCAAGAGAAAAGGAAGUUUAGGCCUUAUACCUUCCAAUAACUUCUUGCAAGUGAGAAAAAAACCACUACCUUUUAAAAAUUUCACCACACCAAACCUUCCAAUCACCAAGAGGUAAGUUUAAUCGGUUUGAUUUUGUUGAUUUCACUCAAACAAGGGUUGAUUCAAGGUUGGAGUUGCAAACUUUCUUCUCUCUUUUCCCUCCUCUCACUCUCAGCCAACAAGAAAAAAAAUGAAGAACAAAAGAAGCCAAUUUGAAGAUAAGAAGGAAGGAAAUUUGCUUAGUCAAAGUUGGUUUGAUUUUCGCCAAGUGUCGCUUCAUGGAUUAAUCUCAAAAUAUUUUCUAUUCUCCCUUUUUAUUUAGUCCAAAAUUUCGACUGCCUUAAGGGAUAUUUUGGGGCUAAUUUUGCUAAAAUAAAAGUAAGGAGAUUAAAGUAAUAAAGUAGUGUUCAAGUGGUGUAUUCAAUUAGCAGCAAACGGUGCACAUCGAUUCAAACCUAUUUUCCUUAACUCUUGUGUACUUAUGUUUUAACUUAUGAUUCACUCACUUAUUAGUAGCACUUCUAAUCACACCUUUUCUUUUAUCUAAAACUCACUCUUAACCACCAAAUUUAGAACACACACCUCACCAAUUAAUCACACUACUAAAAUACACAAAAAUCAUAUUUUACCCUAACUAUAAAAUUAAGGGUAAAACUCUUAAUUCUAUUAUAUAUUACAACUAUUAAGAAAGUAAAUUUGUAGUAAAGAUAUUAUAAAAUAAUUUAUUCAAAAUAAAAGGAGAUUUUAAGAAAAUAUGCGGGAUUUUGCAAGUCCUCACAUAAACACUUUGGUGACGUGGUUACAUUUGACCCUACAUACCUGACAAAUAAAUAUAAGAUGCCUUUUGUUCCAUUAACUGGAGUUAAUCAUCAUUACCAGUCAAUUUUGUUUGGGGGUGCUCUGCUUUAGGAUGAAACCGAAGAAUCGUUUGUUUGGUUGUUGAAAACUUGGUUAGAAGCAAUGCUUGGGUGCCUUCUUAAAAGUGUCAAUGUUUGGGUGCCUUCUUAAAAGUGUCAUUACUGCGAUAACAAAUACUGUUAGAAACAACUAAUUGGAGGCCUUUCCCCUUUCGAAACAAAACAACUAAUUGGAGGCCUUUCCCCUUUCGAAAUUCUCCUUUUUUAAAAAAAUAUUAACUAAAGUUUCAAAAAAUUGAAUUUUGAGGUUUCAAGCUUAGGGAGGCAGGAAAAAUUGGUUGAGCCUCUGUACACAAGGUUGAGAAUAAUGCAAAUCCUACUAACUAAACUAGGGUGAAAGGGGGAGAAAUAGAUAAUGCAAUGAAUGGAACCUUGGAAUCCUUUCAAAGCUCGAGUAACUUUUCUUGCACAAGCCUCGCAACGCAUGUCAACCUUGAGAACAAUCUCCUGAACCUCUUCUUCCUUCUUUUCUUCUUUCGUGUCCCCUUCUUCUUCUUUUUUACUAGUGUCUUCUUUGUUUCCCAGUAUUUGUUUCUUUUCCUCCUCCUUGUUCGCUUCCUCUUUCUUCUCCUACAGCAUACCAUGCAUGAGAUCAAUGAGAAAAUGAUAGCAAAACUUAUAGUAGUUACUGGGAUUUCCUUCCAUUCAUUCGAGGGAGCAAUUAGAAUAAUCAUGUGCAAGGAUAUUUGGAAGUAGAAAACUAAAAACUUGCUUCGCCUAUAUCGUCUAAUUCUGACAAGCCCCUCUUCCAAGCUAAUACUACUAAUCAGUAUAGUAGGCAUACAGCAAGCUCGGGGCUUUGGGGUGAAGGAAAAUGGGAAGAGAGGAACAUGUAAUUUAAGUAGCGGGUGGUCGCGGUCUGGUGGUACUGCCUACACUGCCCGGUGCCCACUGCUGCGGCUGCUGCUCCAAAAUUCCAAAUUUCAUUAAAGCGAGUUACUUACGGUGCUGCCCUUCAGCUGACUCAGCACCUCAUAAUUUUGGCCCCCUUGUUAUGAUUCUAUCUCCGACUACGAGUACAUCAUCUGCAAAUGUAGCAGUCGCCUUUGACUGAUUAAAUAGUAGUCUGACACUACCGUAAUUUAGGAAAAAAUAUAUAUAGUAAAUAAAAUCUUGCAUGCGUGGAAGAGGAAAUACUAAGAAUUAUUACGGAGAUGGAUGGGAAAGGAUUCCAACUUUGUAAAAGCCCUUGGAGUUAUCCUGCAAGCAAAAGCCAAACGAAUGGUCGGCCUGGCAAGGGCUAUCAGGAUCUUUAAAAAAGAAAAGUUGGAAUCUAGCGGGACCCCCCCCAAUUUAUUACCAGUUUUCAGGAAACCAUUCACUGUAUAUAUGUGACGCUUCUGGCUUCCGCUCAUGUAUAUAACCAUUCACUGUAACUAUUGUGUGUGUAUAUAUAUAUAUAUAUAUAGGAGUAUGUUUUUAAUUUGAUGACAACUGUAACUAUUUUAACUGCAGCUGGAUAAAUAUACUGGACGGACCAUAGCUUCAACAUUGCACGUUAUGGGAAAGAUUGCAAGUUGCUGUUCAAAUGUUUUGACGACAUUUUCAAACUUAGCUAGGCGCAAAAUGUUAAAUAGAAAAACAGACGUACAGGUGCAGGAAAGAAACAAUUAAUGCAGCUCGUCAUUCCAAGAGAAAUCGAACACUGGUAUACGUCUAAAAGUGAGUAGUAAUAAAAAAAAAUAGAAAAGUUGGGGGAAGAAGGAUAAGUUUUGGCGAAUAGACAAAGAGUAACCGACGUCCCGAAGUGGGGCGAUUUUUUUUUGAAAGCUUUGCGUACACUAACAUAUCAUAUAUAGUGAUGACGACGGUAUACUUGUGUAGGAGGGAUGGAAAGGUUAUCCUGACCUGAAAUCACAGAGAAAGAAGCGGCCACCACAAUUUUUAAAGGACGAGGCUGUAACAUUUGACAAAGACGGCAGCCCACUGCAAAAGUGGUCCAAGUUCCAUGGAUCUCAAAUGGUUGAGGAAUUCUUCGAUACUAUCACCAACAACAUGUUGGUACAUGUAGUAGUUAAAUCAAGUCUUGGUUUCCUAGUCGGUAUUGGUUUCUUUAAGUCCAAGUCCAAUUGUAUUCCCUUUGUGAUUUGGAAGCUAAGUUUUAGGAGACAAAGUGGUCUAUAUAAACCACUACUGGUAGCCUUGUUACUGUGAUCCGAGAAUUGCAAACAAUCCAUGAAGUUUGCCUCCUGAAGAUUUUGUCAUCCUUCGUUUCUUUCUUUAGCUGUCCCGUUUGUUUAUAUAUAUAAAUAUUCCGCUGCCAAGCUAUUACUUUGUGUGUGUGAUUCGCUUGAAUUAUUCUAUCCUGUGGGUUAGUUUCCUACAAAGUGGUAUCAGAGCUUUGUCUGAGAUCCUGAUAAAUUAAAAUAUGGAUCCAAAUUAUUUGCACAAUUGUCACGUUUUUAUCUUCGAUGGUAAAAACGAUUUUGAGGUUUGGAGGUCGAUGAUGAAGAAUUUUUUUCAAAAUAUUGGAGUUUAGAAUAUUGUCGAAACAGGAUAUACGGAGUCGAUAGAAGGUAUAGAAUUAUCAAGCGAUGCAGUUAAAGAAUUAGAGAGAAAUAGACAGUUGGAUUGCAAGGUAAUGUACUUUCUCAACACUCAAGUCCAGUUGCAUGUUGCCAAAAAAUUUAUACAUGCAAAGUCGGCAAAAGAGGCUUGGACAAUUUUGGUGAACUCAAAUCGAGGUGCUGCUAACGUGAGAAAAAUCAGAUUGCAGGAACUUAGGAGACAAUUUGAGUUGGCCCAGAUGAAAUCUACGGAGUCAGUUAAAGAUUUUAUUAGCACAAUUAAAGAAAUUGUCAAUGAUAUGGAGUCCAAUGGUGAGAAUUUGGAAAAGGUUAGAGUUGUUGAAAAAGUUUUAAGAUCUCUAACUGCCAAAUUUCACACCAAGAAAACGGUCCUUGAAGCCACAAAGGACCUUGACAAUUUGUCACUUGCUGAAUUGGAAGGUGAAUUGCUGACGUAUGAGAUGUCCCUGAAUUAGCAGCCAUCAGAUACAGUAGAGGAGGUGUUACAAGCCAAGGUAGAUCACCCAAAAGAAAAAGAGGAGGUGAAUCGUAUGGACACAAAUCAAAGGGGCCAGAACUUCAGAGGUAGAGAACGUGGAGGCAGAGGUAACUCUCGUGGUCGUGGAAGAGGUAAUUAUUCUUACCAACCCAGAAACAAUUCUAAUAGGGAUCAGAAAAAUAGUCAACAACAAAGUCAAAAAAAUAAUUUUCAAAGGCGUGAUAGAUCUAAUGUCCAAUGUUAUAAUUGUGGUAAAAUUGGUCAUUAUCAGAAUGAAUGUUGGUCUAAUAGAGAGGUGUAUGCUAAAGUGGCUGAAAAUAGUAGUGAUAGAGAGGAGACUUUAUUGUUUUCUAGUUCUACAUCUGAAGAGUUUAUGAAGAAUGAUUGGUUUAUUGAUUCUGGUUGUAGUAAUCAUAUGUGUGGUAAAAAGGAGAUGUUUUCUGAUUUGGAUGAAUCUUUUCAUGCAUCUGUGAGAUUUGGAAACAAUGAAACAGUGCAUGUUCUUGGAAAAGAAAAAAUCAGAAUUAUCUUGCAAGAUGGGCCUUCGAAUUAUAUUUCUGAUGUUUUCUGUGUACCAAGUUUAUAUCAUAAUUUGUUGAGUUUGGGACAACUGUCUGAGAAAGGUUAUGACUUGCAUUUUAAAUAUGGCGAUGGCACCAUAAGUGAUGAGAAAUUGGGAUUAAUUGCUAAGGUAAAGAUGAACCGUAGUCGUUUAUGGCCCCUUUCUCUUAAUUGUGGCGAUUUACCUUGCUUUAAUUCCAUGACUUGUGAUGAUGCUUGGUUAUGGCAUAUGCGUUUUGGGCAUUUGAAUUUUGAGAGCUUGAAAUUUCUUGAAAGAAAGAAAUUAGUUAUUGGGUUGCCUUCUGUUGAGUUUCCUGACAAGAAGUGUGAGUCUUGUAUUUUGGGAAAGAAGCACAGGGAUCAUUUUCCAAAAGGCAAGACUUGGAGGGCAAAUCGACCACUUGAACUGAUUCAUUCAGAUUUAUGCUCAGUUGAAGUUCCUUCCAAUGGUGGUAGUAAGUAUUUUAUCACCUUCAUUGAUGAUUUCAGUAGGAAGACAUGGGUGUAUUUUUUAAGGAAUAAAUCUGAUGCAUGUGAUGUGUUUAAAAAGUUCAAAAAUUAUAUAGAGAAGCAGAGUGGCUACUCUAUUAAAAUUUUGAGAACUGACUGAGGCACUGAGUAUCUUGUUUGUGAUGACUAUUUAGUGGAAAGUGGUAUAAAACAUCAAUUGACAGCCAGAUAUACACCUAGCAAAAUGGUGUGGCAGAAAGGAAGAAUAGGACUGUGAUGGACAUGGUGAGAUCUAUGAUGCACUUUAAACGUAUUCCUAAAUCUUUUUGGGCAAAAGCAGUCUAUUGUGCUAUUUAUGUUUUGAACAGGUGUCCUACUAGAUGCAAUUUUGGGAAGACCCCACAAGAGGUUUGGACUGGCAUGAAACCGGAUAUCUCUCACUUCAAGGUAUUUGGUUGUCUUGCGUAUGCACAUGUUCCAGAUCAGUUGAGAAAGAAAUUGGAUGACAAAGCAGAGAAGUGUAUUUUUAUUGGAUAUAGUCAUGAGACAAAAGGGUAUAAAUUAUUCAAUCCAAACACAGGAAAUGUGAUUGUUAGCAGAGAUGUGAUUUUUGAUGAACAUGGAGCUUGGAAUUGGUCCAAACAAGAUCCCGAGACAUCGCCAAAGCACCCAUCCAUUUCUCCCAUUAUGGGACCAAGUGCUGAUAAGCAAGCAGUGGAGCAAGUUGUACAACCUCUUGGUGAUCCUUCAUCUUCCGCUAUUCAGGUUGAGACAUCCAGUCGACCACAGAGAGAACGACGCAUGCCAACCUGAUUUGAUGAUUAUGUUGUUGGCACAGAUGAUGAUUUAACUAAUGAAGCAAUUGUAAAUUUUGCUCUUUUUGCAGAUUGUGAUCCUGUCUCAUUUAAAGAAGCUGUCAAAGAUGAUCGUUGGGUUCGUGCAAUGGAUGAAGAAAUUCAUGCCAUUGAGAAAAAUAAUACAUGGGAGUUGACCACUAUCCCACCUGAAAAGAAGUCAAUUGGAGUGAAAUGGGUAUAUAAGACAAAGUAUAAGCCAACAGGAGAGGUGGAUCGCUUCAAAGCGAGAUUGGUUGUCAAAGGCUAUAAGCAGAAGGCAGGUAUUGAUUAUUUUGAAAUUUUUGCACCAGUUGCCAGACUUGAUAUGAUACGUAUGAUUGUAUCACCUGCUGCAAAUAAUUGCUGGAAAAUUCAUCAAAUGGAUGUAAAAUUUGUAUUUUUAAAUGGUUUUCUUCAAGAAGAGGUAUAUGUUGAGCAGCCUGCAGGUUAUGUUAGAAAGGGUCAAGAAGGCAAAGUAUAUAGAUUGAAAAAGGCAUUAUACGGGUUGAAACAAGCUCCUAGAGUUUGGUAUACUCGCAUCGAUACUUAUUUUAUUGAGCAUGAUUUUUUGAGAUGUCCAUAUGAGCAUACUCUGUACAUCAAAUUCAAUCCUGGAGGAGAUGUCCUUAUUGUAUGCUUGUAUGUGGAUGACUUGAUAUUUACAGGUCUCAGGUAUUUAACUUCUACGAGGCCUGACAUCACUUAUGGAGUUGGUUUGAUUAGUAGAUUCAUGGAAUCUCCACGCCAGUCUCACUUGCAAGCUGCUAAGAGAAUUUUGAGAUACAUUCAAGGUACACAAUCUGACGGUAUAUUUUAUUCAUCUUCACAUGAUAACAAUCUUGUUGGAUACACUGAUAGUGAUUGGGCUAGUGACACAAUACAAAGGAGAAGCACUUCUGGUUAUGCAUUUUACUUGGGAUCUGGUGUAUUUUCUUGGUCCUCAAAGAAACAACAGGUGGUUGCUUUGUCCACAGCAGAAGCGGAGUACAUGGCAGCUACAAGUAGUGCUACUCAAGCACUUUGGUUGCGGAGAAUGCUUGGAUUCUUGCAACACAAGCAAGAUGGUCCUACCACAAUAUUUUGUGAUAGCAUGUCUGCUAUUGAGUUGACAAAAAAUCCAGUUUUUCAUGGGCGCAGCACACAUAUUGACAUCAAGUAUCAUUUUAUUCGUGAGUUGGUUUAAGAGCAAGAAAUUGUCAUUGACUAUUGCAAAAGGGAAGAUCAAGUAGCUGAUAUUUUGACAAAGCCGCACAAAUUGGAGAUGUUCAUAAAAUUGAAGAAGAUGCUCGGCAUGGUGAAAUUUGAAGAUCUUGAUUUAAGGGAGGCUAUGUAGUAGUUAAAUCAAGUCUUGGUUUCCUAGUCGGUAUUGGUUUCUUUAAGUCCAAGUCCAAUUUUAUUCCCUUUGUGAUUUGGAAGCUAAGUUUUAGGAGACAAAGUGGUCUAUAUAAACCACUACUGGUAGCCUUGUUACUGUGAGCCGAGAAUUGCAAACAAUCCAUGAAGUUUGCCUCCUGAAGAUUUUGUCGCCCUUCGUUUCUUUCUUUAGCUGUCCCGUUUGUUUAUAUAUAUAAAUAUUCCGCUACCAAGUUAUUACUUUGUGUGUGUGAUUCGCUUGAAUUAUUCUAUCCUGUGGGUUAGUUUCCUACAGUACAUGACACAUUAUUAUUAUGAUUUCAAACCGUACCUAGAAGAUAUAUUUUUGGAUGAAGAAAGACAGACAAUUCAUAUUCAUGUCCAAAGGCAUUUUGCCUGGUGCCUGGCUCUGCAGCCAGUCUCAUGGGCCUCGCUGUGUAGUUUCAAGAGUGAGCCCAUCGAAUUGCUACGAACAGAACUGGGUUUCAAGAUGGGCCGCAUUUCCUUUCCAUUCCUUCUUCAAUUCCUCCAGCGCACGCCAUCCACUCAACUAGUCAAGUGACGAUUAUUCGUUAUUCAAUUCCUCCAGCGUACAUGAUCCACUCAACUGGUCGAGUCAAGUGACUUCGAAUUCGUUAUUCAAUUCCAGGGUACGAACAGGGAUACCUUUAUGGUAGGAAGCCUUUGACCAUUCCUAUCGUAGGCAGCUUCUCAGAGCAUGACACGUGUUGGAGUUGGAUGGAGUGCAAACGGAGAUGUUAAAUUGUUGGAGAACGCGUGAAGAGCAAAUCUCAAAUUUUGGUCUGUGGCCAGAAGCAAAAAAAGCACAAGUUUGGACUUCCGUUUUCCAAAUCAGUAGGUUGGGGUAGGGAAGGGUAAUUGCACGUCAGAACCACUGGCAUUUAUGCAUUUGCAGUUGUACCCGUUAGGAGCGGAAAAAUAUUGAAAAUGCCUUGGACAAAGAAAUAUGCGCAAAGAAGGUACUGAAGUUUUAACAAAUAAUAAAUGUAAAUGUCACACGUGUCAGGGAUAAUAACUUGAAAGAAGGAAAAGUGGAGCAGAGGUAAACGUAGUAGUUCAACGGCAACGUGAAACACAAAGAGAUUGAAGCCUUCAUUAUAUUUAUAUACACAUAUAAAUUUAGUACCCAAGUGUUUAGGUUAAGCAUCCGGUAAAAUGGUCCCAUAACUAUCGUUACGAUAAAUAAAAUAGUUUUAGACAUGAUGUAAUUGGUUAUAAAAAUUUUAGCGACCAUUUGAUUACCCGUUAGACCUAUCCACUUGAAUAGGAUUAUGGGCAAAAAUAAGGGAUUAAAUUUCUCAUCUAAAAUAGUAAGUUAACGUAAUAAAUUAGUAAGUUUUGCAAUCGAAAAGGUAAAUUGUAAUUAAUAUGAAACAUACUUUUUAAAGAGAUAAAUUACAAAAGUAUAUCCCAAAUAUACUUUUGAGGGUGUAAGUUUAUUUGAAGUAAAAGUUUGUUUGUAUACAUAAAUAGUGAUUUUUACUGAUAACAUAGUUAAUUUGAUUAAUGACAAAAAUAUGCUAAUGUAUGGCUAAAAUAUUGUACUAUGCUUAAAAAAACUUAUACGAAGGCCAUAUUUUAGUGUUAUUUGAAAUAACACUAAAAUGUAUUAUUAAUGAUUAAAACUGAGUACCUUACUUAGUAGGUACUGUUAAUAUACUUGUAUACAUAUUUGAUCGUAUGUGAAUAAAUAAGUAUUUUUGAAAUUUGUAGGGAAAUUAAUCUUUUCUUUUGGAGUUUUAAAAGAAACAAAGCGAAAACAUUUUUCCUCAGAGCACAAAAAUUCACAAAUUAAAGUAGUUGGUACAAAAGGGAAAGAGACAUUCUGAAUAUCAUUGUUUAAAGUACUAAAUAAAUGAGAUGUAAAAUGGUUGUUAAAAACAGGUGUAUUGACAUAUAAUAAAGGAAAGUCAUAAAGAGCUAGCCAUUUACAGGAAAAGUUAUCAUUCAUAAAAAUAGCAACGCUUCACGGUUUUCUUAUCAGUCUUGUAACAUAUGAGCAAAGUGGCAAUAAUUAAAAUAGUAUUUUUUUUCGAUUUGUACAUAUUUAAUUAAUAUUUUUUGCUUUUUAAAAAAAUGAAUGAAAAUGUUCUAUGAGAAAACACAUAAGUCAAAAGAAAUGGUCUAAAAGGGAAAAUAAUAGCAGAUACGUACAGUACUUGUAGUUCAUGUUCGAAGGACUAUAGUGCUGUUUUUAAAAAAAUAUCCCGAAAAAUAUCUAAUUCAAAUGGAACCGAUUCUUUACUAUUUAAAAUGUCAAAUCUGUGAUUGUUUUUGAACUGUUAUCCAUUGGUAUCGUAAAGUAUUAUUUUUUCAUCAAAUACCGCCUCUUUAACACCAAUUUUCACAUAAACAAAUUUAUUUAUCGGAUAAAAAGUAUAAAAAUUUAUUUUUGAAUAAAACACUAGCUCUUUAUGGCUUUCCUCCAUUAUAAGAACAGAUUACCCAUUUUUGCAUAAACAAAUUUAUUUUUCGGAUGAAAUAAAAAUAAAUCAGUUUUUCAGUAAAACAGUAACUCAUUAUGGGUUUCCUCCAUUAUAAAAACAGAGUACUCAUUUUAGCCCCUCUAAAAAAAAAUCUUGACUUUGUCACUAACUGAAAUGUUUGUAACUGAGAUUUAUCUAUGGUGAAUGUAUGAAACAUAAUUUUUUCACUGUAUUGAAUUUAUAUGAUGAAAAAUGAAAUAGGUGAAUUGGAUUAGUGAGCAUCAGUUUUGUAAAUGAUUGUGAGAGUAAACUAUAUUAUAACAAUAAAAUACGUUGAAUUGUGAAAAUUAUAAUUGAAACAUGCUCCUAAAUUUUGGAUAUGUGACUUUCCUAGUUGCGAAUUUCUUAAAUUAACAGUUAGUUAUUACUAUGAGUAUUGUGGUAAGUGUGAGAUGUGAAUGUCAGUAAUAACUGUUAGUUAUUAGUCUCAGUAAAAUCAGCAGUAAAUGUGAGAUAUUAAUUGAAAUUUUCAGAUAUCAUUUUACAUGGGUGGUUAUUAUCUGUUAGUUAAAAUUUUGGAGUUUUAAUUUUAUGGGUUAGAAGGGAAAACGUGAGAGAAAUGUGGGACAAACAUGAGCAUGAUUAUAGGAUUUAUACGACCAGUUAUAGGAUUAGUUGUCAGGUAAACAUUUCUUAAUUUUAGAAAUGUAAAAUUGUAAUAAAAUAGUAUUCAGACAACAUGACAAUUUGGAAAGCUCCUUAUCCAAAAUUCCCUCUGCAAUACAUAUAUAUUAGUCUUUUGACCCGUGCUAUGCACGGGAUUAUAUUUCAUAUUAAAAUAAUAUUGUAUAUAUUUAUAUAUUGUGGUACAGAAUAAUAUAUAUAUAUUAUUUUAAAGAAGUGCAUGUUUAACAUGUUGAAAAAAUUUUAAUUUAUAAUGAUUUACAUGAUAGAGAAAUUGUUAACGCAUUUAAGGUGAGGGUUAGGUUGGGUGGUAAGGUGAGAAGAGUUUUCUAAAAAAAAAUCAAUUUAUCAGUACCCAGCAAAACAUAUUAUGUUAUACCCAUAUAUCAAAACUUAUAAUAUAAAAAAAUAAAUUAUAACCAAUUUAUUUUCUUCCAUUUUUAGAAAAAAAAUCUUUCUCCUAUCUUGUACCUCUAAAAUUGUUGACUGCAUUUAGAUUAGCAUUUUUUUUUAUAAACUUUAACGUAUAUUUAAAAAUGUUAGGAAAUUGGUUUAAUUUCUUUUAGAUAGAAUUCUUAUUUUGUGUGGAAGUAACUAAUUUUCUAAUUGGUUUUAGUUACUUGAAAUAGUAGUCAAGAAAUAUUCUAUUUAGUUUAGGAUUAAAAGUUAUUCUAUGUAAAUUUAGGAAAUAGUAUUGGUUUCCAAUUGUUAUUUGAUUUUUUGGUAGUAAUGUUCCCUAUAAAUAGAUGGGUUGGCAUACUACACAGAGAGACACACAAAAGAGACACACAAGGAGACACAAGGGGCAUCAUGUAGCCUUAUACAUGGGGUGUGAGAGAGGGUUCUUGGGAGAUGAGAAAUGGUAUACAAGGGUUGGGUUUGGGUUCAAUUUGUAUUCUUGUAUAGGGUUUUUCUCUCAUAAUAAAGAACAGGUUUCUCUCCGUGGACGUAGGCUCAAUGAUGGAGCCGAACCACGUUAAAUAUUGUGUGUCGUUUAUCUUUCAUACUUGUGGAUUAUUUGCCAUUAAAUUGUUGUGCACUUGAUAUCUCAAUAGUUGUUUAUUCCGCAUUUGGAUCCUAACAAGUGGUAUCAGAGCUUGAUUGCGAGACUGAGCUGCUCAAGGUUCGUAGUUGGAUCCUAAUUAAUUAUUGAGAUCAAGUAGAUUGGUAGCUGUUACUAAUUGAACAAUUUAAUGAAUGGUAUUCUUGUUUCAAUGGUUUGGCAAAAAUCAUUGAUGGUGAAUGAUAGAAAGUCAAAAAGCAUGAAGAUACUUGACGAUGAAUCUAGGUAAGUGAUUCAAGGGUCAAGCAAAAGGUAGAGUCCAAUAUUAAUUUUGGACGUGAAUCGGUGGAGACUUUCUCACACCUCCAACGGUUGAUAUUUCAUUUCGAUGAAUUUUAGAUUUUAGUUAUAUUUUUUGGGUGGUGUGGCACGUGUCCCAAAGAAACAAAGAGAUCUAAUUUCUAUGCAUCAGAAGACUCUGACAGUUACGAAUUUUUUGUUUUAAGUGGAGUCUUGAAAACCACAUAUGGCGAGACAGUCCUGAGGAUGGGAAGAAGUAUGGUGACUUUACCACUUGAUUGCCUCAAUGGUUAGGGUUAGAGCUCACAGAAGGGGAUCCCAGAUUGUAAGUGGUGGUAAGAAGAAAUCCUGCAAAGGGAGAUGGUGAAUUGAGACACCUUCUCACGAGUCAACUGGAGGUUGGACUCGGGGUAACUACACAUGUUCGUUUGCCGAUUGAAUCAAUUUGAUGUCAGGAUUGUAUUGAUUCCGGUGUGUAGUUUGGUACCAUAUUAUUUGGUAGUUGAAGGCAAAUGGUUGCUAAAAGAAACUUUCGCCAAGGUGGAGAUGUGUUAGGAAAUUGACUUAAUUUCUUUUAGAUAGAAUUCUUGUUUUGUGUGGAAGUAACUAGUUUUCUAAUUGGUUUUAGUUACUUGAAGUAGUAGCCAAGAAAUAUUCUAUUUAGUUUAGAAUUAGAAGUUAUUCUAUGUAAGUUUAGGAAAUAGUAUUGGUUUCCAAUUGUUAUUUGAUUUUUUGGCAGUAAUGUUCCCUAUUAAUAGAUGGGUUGGCAUACUAUACAGAGAGACACACAAAAGAAACACACAAGGAGACACAAGGGGCAUCAUAUAGCCUUAUACAUUGGGUGUGAAAGAGGGUUCUUGAGAGAUGAGAGAUGAUAUACAAGGGUUGGACUUGGGUUCAAGUUGUAUUCUUGUAUAGGGUUUUUCUUUCAUAAUAAAGAACAGGUUUCUCUCCGUGGACGUAGGCUCAAUGGUGGAGUUGAACCACGUUAAAUAUUGUGUGUCGUUUAUCUUUCAUACUUGUGGCUUAUUUGCCAUUAAAUUGUUGUGCACUUGAUAUCUUAAUAGUUGUUUAUUCCGCGUUUGAAUCCUAACAAAAAAAAAUCUCUGUAAUGUAUAUUUUUAGAGUUCUCAAAAUUAUUAAAAAUCACCAUCAUAUCUCUCUUUUCUUAUCCGUCAGCUAGUCAUUAGAUGCCGUCUACGACUUUCGUAUCUUCUAUCAUGGUACCACUCUCUCUAUUUUUUUUUUGUCAUGUCUGUCAUAUCCCUGCAAUCCCCUUUCUUCUUCUCUCCCUACUCCGCCCAUCCUUGUAACCCACAUUUCUUCUUCAACCUUUCUCGCCACUUUUCAACUCCUCACCAUUUUCUUCCCUCCCUUCUCCCCCCAUACCCAACUUCUAAAUUCAUAUCCAUGUACCCAAUAUAUUUAACUUUACUAAUCAUAAUCAAAAUAUAAAAUUGAAAAUUGAUUACAAUGGUUGCAAUUAUUAGUAUCUAAAAAUGGAAAUGAAAAACUGAUAAUAUCUAUAAUAUUCUCAAAUACUACAAUCAAUAUAUAUAUAUAUAUAUAUAUAUAUAUAUAUAUAUAUAUAUAUAUAUAUAUAUAUAUAUAUAUAUAUAUAUAUAUAUAUUUAACAUAGCAAAUACAUAUUUACAUAUGAAGACGGUAAUAAGAAUACAUAAAAUAAUUAAUGAUAUCAAAAGUUAUCCUUAGUGUUUGGGUUUUACAUUCUUAUUCAAAUCUAAUCAGGGUCAAAUUUGGAUUAGAUAUAUACAAAUUAAGUAGUAUUUUAGGGUCGAAUGUUCUAUAUUUUUUUCUUAAACUAUAAUGUUACUUUUUUAAAAUUUUUGGUAAAAUUGGUGUUGUUAUUAUAAUAUUUAUCAAAAAAAAUUCCCACGUUAAAAGGCCAGUAGUACUUUUUUUUUUAUUUAGUGAUUUCAUAAUUUAGAUUUCAUGAAUGGUACCAUUCUUGAUUUUUUAAAUCCACGACAUUAUUUCCUUUUGUUUUCUGUAUAAUUUUGCUAUUUUACUUAGGAUUACUAAGUUAAAAGAUAAAAUAUUAUCAUUUACUUUUUUACUUUUACUAAGUUUGGUAAUGUUUUCUCUUUAUUUACCCUCCCACUAAUAAAUUUCAAACCAAAUUCCUAUAUAAGUGGAGCCACUUCUUACUUAUUUAAAUUAGAAAGGCAUGGAAGCCACUUCUUAUUUAGAAAAAUGUUAUUUGCACUCCAUUUUUUAUUAUUUGUAAUUCCACCAUUUGUUUUAUCAUAUAGUCUAAUUAAUGAAAACUAUAUGAUCAAAAUGAUUAUUGAAGUGUGAAUAACAAAAAUAUAGUGUAAAUAAUCUUACUUAUUUAAAUUAAUAAGAAAGCAUGAAAGGAUGUCAUAUUUGUUAUCUCUUGUUAUGGUCUUAUAGAAGUUUUAAUUGGAGUAGAAUCAUAAAUAACGCAAGGUAAUCGAAAACGUGAUAGGUUGAAGUACAAAUAAGAUAACAUGCACAUUAACCAACAAUUUGAAAUGAAAUGAUUUUAAAAAGUAACUAACAAUUUCAAAUGUGAAGAGUAGAUGUGGAAGUUAAGAGAAAUAUAUUUUAUAAAUUAAAUUAAAUGUGAAAUGCUAGAAAAAUAGAAUUGAUAGUGGGAAGAUGUGAAAGUUUGUUGCUAAAAAUUCUUUCUCAAAUUUAUAUAGAUAUAGAUAAAUAUAGAUGUCUUUUUUUUAGUGGUUCAAUCUCAUAUUCGUAAACUAUCUGCAGAAAAAAAAAAUUCUGGACUAUACUAAUUUUGUUAUACCAACUCUGUUAUUCUUAUUAGUGUAUUAAUUGUUACGCUAUUUCUCUCAUUUUGUUGGGCCUACAUUAAUACAAGUGUAAUUGUUAUUAUGUCUCGUGUCCCAGAAAAUACAUAAUAUCCUAUUCAGGUGGAUACGUGCAACAGAUAAUCAAAUUGAUGGUAAAAAUUUAGAAUGAAUAAGUUGCUUUUGCAUAAUGGUUGUAAAGGUUUCUUGAGACUUUAUGAAUUAGGUGUCUUGCGUUUGCAAAAAGAAUUUCAGAAGAUUUUUUGUAUUGGAAAUGGAGUUAAAACUUGCUAUAGGUUACUUUCAUGUAUUUCAAUCUUAUCGUAAAGGGUAAUUUGCUGUUGAACCUAAUUUUUUUUCCGAUUAUAUCCAACUAAUAAAUUAACUUAUGAAAAUAGAUAAUUUAUGGAGGAAAACUAUAAGUAGCUGGUGCUUAUUUUGAAAAAUAUAUUUAUUUUUAUUUUAUCCAAUAAAUAAAUUAGCUUAUGAAAAAUGGGUACUCUGUUCUUAUAAUGGAGGAAAAUCAUAAAGAGCUAGUGUUUUAUUCAAAAACGGAUCUAUUUUUAUUUUAUCCUAUAAAUAAAAUUUUUGUAUGCAAAAAUGGGUACUCUAUUCUUAUAAUGGAGGAAAGUCAGGAAGAGCUAGUAUUUUAUGGAAAAAUGUGUUUAUUUUUAGUUUAGCCGAUAAAUAAAAUUUUUUAUUUAUAGAAAAAUGGGUACACUGUUCUUAUAAUGGAAAAAAGUCAUAAAAAGCUAGUGUUUUAUUGGAAAAUUGGUUUAUUUUUAUUUGAUCUGAUAAAUAAAAUUUUUUAUGAGAAAAACGGGCACUGUGUUCUUAUAAUGGAGGAAAGUCACAAAGAGCUAGUGUCUUAUUGGAAAAUGGGUUUAUGCAGAAUUUUAUUUUAUCCAUAAAUUUUUUUUAUGGAAAAAUGUGUACUCUAUUCUUAUAAUGGCGGAAAGCCAUAAAGAACUAGUGUUGUAUUCAAAAAUAGGUUUAUUUUUAUUUUAUCCGAUAAAUAAAUUUUUUUAUGGAUGUCUAGAUAAAAUUUAUUGAUCGGAUUAAAAGAAAAUUUAUUUUAACACUGAUUUUUCCAAAAACAAAUUUUCUUUUCAAAAAAAAAAGAAAAUAAACCCGUUUUCUAAUAAAACAGUCGCUGUUUAUGGCUAUCCUGCGUUAUAAGGAAAGAGUACCCAUUUUCUCAAAAACAAAUUUAUUUAUCGAAAUAAAAUAAACAUAAAGGCGUUUUACAGUUAACCACCCGCUAUUUACGGCUUGCCUCCAUAAAUUAUCCACUUCACUAUUUUUCAUAAGUUAAUUUACUAGUUGGAUAAAAUUGGAAUAAAAUUAGGUUGAAUAGCAAAUUAGCCUUUAGGAUAAAAUUGAAAUACAGGAAAGUAACCUAUAGCAAGUUUUAACUCCGUUUCCACUACAAAAAAUCUUCUGCAAUUGUUUUUGCAAACGCAAGAAGAAUAAUUCAUAAAGUCUCAAGAAACCUUUACAACCGUUAUGCAAAAACAACUUAUUCAUUCUAAAAUUUUAGCAUCAAUUUGAUUACCUAUUGGACGUAUCAACAUCAAUAAGAUAAUAUGUAUUUUCUGAUACACGAGACAUAAUAAGAAUUAAACUUGCAUUAAUGUAGGCCUAACAAAAUGAGAAAAGUGGCAUAACAAAUAAUACAAUAAUAAGAAUAACAUAUUUGGUAUAACAAAUUUAGUGUAGUCUAGAAUUUUAUUUUUUUCUACAGAUAGUUCACGAAUAUAAGGUGCAACCACUAAAAAGAAUGACAUGCAUAUGUAAUGUAAAAAUGAAUAUAAAAUGAAUGUAGUUACAUUGUGUCAUCCGGUAUUCGGGUCCACAGUGGAAGCCGAACUUCAAUAAUGGAAAGCCAGAGUUGAAGCUUACUUCAGACGCUAUGGGAAAGAAGUGGGGUCACCAAUAUUUGGUACAAAGGAAAGACUUGCAAUAACAUAAUACGGAAGUCAGUCUGUUGUUUGCUUCCAUCCGCACACGCUUCUACUUGAUUUUCUAUGCACGCGCUCUCCAACAAUUUAACAUCUCCGUUUGGACCGUUUUGCCUCCAACACGCUCUCUGCCGACAUUCCUACCGUAGGCAGAUUCCUACCAUAAAGGUUUCGGUACGGAACAGGUCCAUUCAACCAAUGUUUUCAGAACCGGACCGGACCGGCCGGUUCGACCGGUUGGACCGCGAACCGGCCAUGUCACCGGUCCGGUCUAAUGCUAAAGCCGGAAGUUCAUGGAGAACCGUUGAAACCCGGACGAACCGUGCGAACCGUUAAGAACCGUGAACCGGCGGUUUUUUAAAUUCUUCAACAAAAUAUCAAGAAUGGUGUAGCUAAGAUUCGAACCUGGGUCUCCAACUUUAAAUAUGACAAUCUUACCGCUAGACUGUACUUAAGUUUGUUGAGAAUUCUACUUGACUAAAAAAUAUAUUAAAACAUCAAGUUCUUUUCUUAUUUUUUUUUUUUCAAUUUUUUCUUCUUAACCAUUUUUAACCCAAAUAUCCACAACAAGAUUUUCUCAAGUCUUCACCAUUAUUAUCUGGUUAUUAUCUUUAGCAGAUUGUAAACAAGUUGAAAAUUUCAACUUUUCUUGUUUUCCAACAUUUUAGUAAGUUUAAUUUUUUUCUUUUCAAGGUUUUUUCUAUAUUAUUAUCUUUAGUUGAUUUUUUGCAUUUUCUUCUUUUUCCCCUCAAUUUUCAUAUGUUUCCCUCAUUUUUGUUUUAUUUUUAUUCGAUUAAUUAAGGAUGAAAUUUUUGCAAAAGUAGUGCACAUCCGUGUAGGAAUUGGGUAGGAAUUACAAAUAAUAACAUUGGGCUGGUCAAAAAUAUGGUAGUUAGCACAUAAUCGAAACUAUUGAUAAUUGAAUUUAAAAUAAUUAAUGGUAUAGGAUCAUUGAAUUUAAUAUAACAUGUUAAUUAGUAAUGUUUAGUAGCAAUUAAUUUUUUAUGUGUUUAACUGUAUAUUUGUUUUUCAAAAAUUUUUAGUUUUUUUUAGUUUAAGCAAUUAGAUUUAUAUUUUUAUAAUAAAAUUUUACUUUUUCAGCUUAAGUUGAUGAAAUUGUGAAGGUGGUGUGGUUGCUUAUCAUGCCACUGAUAAAAGUUUGCUAUUCAAAUAGUUUGUUUUAACUUGAACUCUUUUAUGGAUUUUUUUAAGGGUUGUAAAAGAAUUUUAAUAUUUUAUUUAUUUAUUUUUUGUGUUUUUAUUUGUGAUAAUUGGCGCACAUUUGGAUUGUAUCUAUUUAUGUUUAUAAUGAAUUUAUGAAAACUUAUGGUGAAUUAUGAUAUUUUAAUUAUAUUUAUCAUUCCAUGUUUUAUGUAUAACUUUUAGAAAAUUUAUUAUUAUCAUAACUUAAAUUAAGUUAUGUUGGUAAAGUUCAAGUAUAGAAUGAAACAUGCUUAGUACUUAACACUAAAAAAAAAAAAAAAAAAAAAAAAAAAAAAAAAAAAAAAAAAAAAAAAAAAACAGUGAACCUUUGAACCGGCCGGUCGGACCGGUCGAACUGCGAACCGGCCACCUCUCCGGUUCACUGACCGGUCCGAGUUUAAAAACAUUGCAUUCAACUGGUCGAGUCAAGUGACGAUCGAUCAUUCGUUAGCUAGCAAAAUGACGAACUGACAAUAAUGACUUUGAGCUGCUUUACGUCAAUUUAACUUUUUUCUUUAGUUGUUUACUUUUUUCUUUUUUUCGGAAACGUUAACGAUGUAUUGAUCAUAAUAAGAAACUUUACAACAAAAGUUGGGCAAAGGCUCCAGCAGAAGCUUUACAACAGUGCAUAUGCUCGCACUUACAAGGAGUAAUAAUAAUAAUGUUUGAAGCGUGAACGCUAAGCCUAUGACAUAAAUCCAUAUUUGUGGGGUUUUCUUUUUUUUUUUUUUGGUAAUCUAAAAGAUCCAUAUUAAAAUUUAAAUGUCGUACUGAUUGUCCAACGAGUACUACUCAUUAGAAAAAAAAAAUUCAUAGUUAAUUGCAAAGGGCAUAAGGAUAAUGAACUUGAUAAUAAUAAGAUAACGACAUUUUUGGCCUGGUCUUUUAAUUUACGGGAUUGAUUGAUGGCUCUGUACAGUGGUAUUACCAUACAUGCUAACAAGUUUGGUACGUGUCUACAUGAAAACUGUCGGUGUGUAUUUAAAAUAAGAAUUAAUAUUUUCUUUUUCUUUUUCUUUUUCAAAUGUGUUGUUGACAGUCUACUUAACAAAUAUGCAGUCACUUGCACGACAGAGAGAGAGAGGAAGGGGACAAUUAACAUUGGAGGAGUCACUAAUCAGUCGAAGCAUGGAUUGAUGCCACGCCCAAAAAACCAAAAAAAAAAAAAAAAAAUUGUGAUAGCACCAUGUGUAGUGUAAAAUGGUUGGCGCAUGUGGGGGGAAGAUGCAUCAUAUGCCUGGAUAAGCUCUCUCGCUCAUAAUUUCCGUCAGCACAUCAAUCAAACAAAAUACUCACUAAUAAGUAACAACCACCUCACCUUGAAUUCAGAUGCUGCGUUGCAUCUUAAAGCUGUAGAGCUGGGUGGGGAAUGGUGGCCAGGGAUUGGUUGGGAAGAUUGCGGGGGCCUGGGCUGUUCCAAAUUUUAGCUGUGCCAGUCCAAAGGUCGAAGAAGCAAAGGUGCUAAGAGAGGCCAUGAUAGUGAACUGUAGUCAAGUAGUGAAAGCAGUGUGCAGUGAGGAGGAGGAUGUAGUGAUAGCAUCAAUUGUACAUGACAUCAGGAUACUUAGGUUAAAAUUUGAUGAAUGUUGUUUUACCUUUACAAAUAGGGUGAACAAGCCAUAAACUAGCUAAAGUAACUAUUGCUUUGGAACAAAAUACAGAAUGAAAGGAAAACUCCCCAGUUUGGCUGCUGGAACAAGUCCAAGCAGAUUGUAAGGACAGUUGCCCGGCUAUACUGUAAUUGGUUUACUAUUAAUACAAUGUUGCCGUUCUGAUUAAAAAAAAAAAAACCACCUCACCUUCAUUGCUCUUAAGAGUCAUCAUGGUUUUGUGGGAAUUGGGAAUACCUGAAUGAUGGGCAUGGGAGUGCGUAUCUCACUGAAAUUACCUCCGAAAAGCUUUUCCACCGUAACACUUGAGGAUAGAAUAUUUGUCUCGGUCCAAUGUAUAGAUUGUUAUCUUUCAAUGGAUUAAUCUUUCAAGUCCCUGCUGCAUCAAUUGCUAUAGUACUGUUGGAGGUGUACUAGUCAAAAAGCUUCUCUGUAGCACCGCAUAUCUGAUGUGCGGUUAAAGAAAAAACUUUUCCAAACCGUCACAAAUCAGAUGUGCGGUUAAGGGAAAAACAUAUUUUAAUUCAUUUGCCGCAAAUUAGUAUUGCGACAAAAGAUUUAAAAAACAUUUUUUUUCUUGCUCCUUCAAAAUCAUGACCCUUGAUCAUAUGUUAAUCAAUGGUCCAUUUUUGGCUAAAAUAAAAAAAAAUGCAAUCGAAAAUCUUAACUUCAAAAAUUCUUAAGCUGCGAAAAAAAAUAAAAAAUAAAUCAGACAACUUUUAAGUCGAUAUUGUGACUUGCGGCGACCCUUAUGAUAGACAAACUCCCUACAAAACACUACUUUUGUGAUAAUUUUUUAUUUUAACAUUAUUACAAAAAAUUUGCCCAAUUUUUACCCAAAUUAUCCAAAUUUUAUUGCAAAUUGGAUAAAUUGGAUAAUUGAUUUUGACAUUAUUCCGAGAAUAACGUAGGUAAAUUAAAUUUUAGGCUUCCAUGGUUUGGGUUUACAUAUUCGGGUUUUAGUGCUGGGGUUUAGGGAUUAGGAUUCUAGAGUUAGGGUUAGGAUUUUACGAAAAUAAAUAAAUAAAUAAAGGAAUCGCCACACAUGAGCUUUGCAGUGAUUCUUUUUUAAUAUAAUAUUUUUCGCCGCACAUACUUUUGCAAAAAAAAAAAAAAAAAACCUCUCCAUUAGCUUCGUUGGCAAAAAAAAAAAAAAGCAAAUUUAAACAAUUUUUUUAUGAAACCCAACUUCCUAUUUGCGGCGACUCUUUAGGUAAAAACACUCUUCAACUAACACCACUUUUAUGAUAAUUUUUGGUUUUAACAUUAUUCCGAGAAAUUCGCCGCACUGGCUGUGCAUAGCAUAGCCCACCCCUAUUAGUACUACUAGAAAGUAGAUAAAAUUUUUUUUUACGGCAAUGAUAACAUUUUAUAACAUAAUCUAUCAUAAUCUAUAUGGAGGGGAGUAUAAAGAGACUGUGUAUAAGUAGUUAUAAAGUAUAAGAAUCUGACUAGAUCAAAAGGAUACUUUGACACCUCAUUUGAAUUUUUUUCACUGUAAGUGGGGUUCGAACCUCCGACUUAUGGUCCAAAAAGAGGCUUAUAAUUCCUUUUUUUUCACUGCAGACCAUCUUUUUUUUUUUAGGAGGAGAAAGUAGUCUUGAUGACGGCAUCAAAAUUCAACGCCCCUUCCAUUUCAUUUCCACCCUACUUCCAUGCUAGUACUGCAUGCUGCCCCGUUGCUAUCUUUCUAUAUAAAGUCCUCGCACCUAUUCUACCUAAAUGGCUCCUACCAUCUAAUUCAACCAUUUCUUAACAUCAGUUUAGUUUAUUGCUGCCUACAUCCCUUCCCAAACACCCCCCCCUCCCCCCGGGAACAAGAAAAAAAGGAAAAAAACUUCCAUUUCCAACAUUUAUCAUUUGGGCUGUUGAUCAGAUCCACCCAUCGCCACUGACUUGACUCUUUCCUUCAUCAACUAUGGCUGAGAAGGUAAGCCAAUUCUCUUGCUAGCUUUCCCAACCAUCCCUCAAAUGUUCGUGAUAUAUUAUUGUUUUGCAUCUUUUUUUUUUCCUCUUUUAGUGUUUGCUUAAUCUAAAAAUUUUAAUUGCAAGUCUAUGACAGCACAUACAACGUGAAAUAUGCUUCUUUUUAUGUCAAGAUCUCUAGCCACAUCUCUCAGCGUAAAACUAGUAGCACCAUAUAAUUGUGCAUCUUAAUUUUGCAGUUCCUGAUUGUUAUAUAUAUAUAUAUAUAGAGCGACGGAGCUAUGUUUUUUUUUUCUAAGAGAUCAAAAUUUUUCAUAACAAAAUUAUCUCAAUAUAUUAUGUUCAAAAUGAUUUCCACACACACAUAUAUAAACUCUCACAAUAUAAACUAAAAUUAUAAAAAAAUUAAAAAGAUCAACUUUAAUUUUACACAUAUAUCUACAUAUUAUGAAUUAAAAUUUUUAAAACUUAAGGAGCCAUGGCCCAUCAGCCCCUUGGCUUCGUCAUUAUAUAUACAUAUGGAUCGAGUUUGACUAUUUUGCUCCGAUAAUAUAUAUGCAACCAUACAGGUGACUACAAUGAGACUCGAGGUUGAUCUUCAAUGCUCCUGCUCCUACAAGGUCAAGAAAUUCCUCUGCAAAUUUCCUCGUGAGUCUCUUAUAAUUAUCAAUUCUAUCUCUUAUGUUUUCAAUACCAGUAUUACUAGUAGUAGUUCUUCUUUAGAGCAAGCACAGUUGGAUGGAGGACAUCCACCGUUCCACCGACUACAUACAUGGCUAGGCAUGUGUGCCACCAUGGGCUACAGUUUUUUUUUUCCCCUUCUCCAUGAUUAAACAACAAAAGCUGGGUAGUGUGGCUUACGAAACUACUAGUGAUCAGUUAGUGGCUUUAAUUUGUAUGGACAAGAAUUUGAGUUUUUUUUUUUUUUUGGGUGAUGCUCAAUUUUUUUGGACAAGAGAAAUCCAAGACCAGGUAUAUGAUGAGAAGCAAAAUCUGGUGACCAUCACCGUGGUGUGCUGUAGCCCCGAGAAAAUCCGCGACCAAUUAUGUUGCAAGGGUGGUAAAGUCAUUAAGAGUAUUGAGAUCGUGGAGCCACCAAAGCCUAAAGAGCCCGAAAAGCCCAAGCCACCACUUGCAGUGGCGGUCUGCUGUGUCCUAUGUUCGGAAGGGUACGGAGGGGGACGAUGCUGCUGCAGGAACUGGCGGCCUGUGCCCCCGCACGCGUGCGGGUGCGGAUACCGGUAUAGUCAUUGUGAUUAGUUCAGUGAGCAGAUCACUGGCGACUGUACGAUUAUGUGAGAGGAGAGGAGAGGAGAAUUUGAUAUGGGGAAUGAUAUGAUAUGAAAAGCAUCCAAAUUAAUCAUUUAAUUUUGUUUGGUGGGCGGUACAUGCAAAUGCAUUGAAGCAAAAUAAUACUAGCAGUAUUGUGUAGUUAGGGCCUUCAUAGGACCUAUAAUAUAAAAGGAAGAAGAAAAUAAAGUUAAUGUGCAUGCUAUUAUGGAGUAUAUAUAUAGAGAGACGUACAUGUGGGGACUGAUUCAAGUUGGAAGUCACUUAGAAUAAGCUUUUGUAUGUACCCUAAUGAAUAAGUUUUCUUUAAGUGUCAAGGCACACUUUUGUAAAGAUGUUUGAGAGCCGUUGCUCAGAUAUUGUAUAGUUUUGACAUAUUAAUAAAAAUUUUAUCGUUUCGGAAAAGAAAAAAAAAAUGUCAUUGCAUCAAAUUUUUUUCAUUGUUUAUAAUAAUAAUAAUAAUAAUAAUAAUAGAAAUGAUGUCGUUAAAAGUGCAUGUACUCUCUUCUUCUUCUUCUUUAUUAUUAUUAUUUUUAGAUUUCAUUUUCUCGCUUUGCUCUCUAGUAGUAGUAGUAGUAGUGUUAGUAAAUUAAUGUGCUAGUGUAGAUGUUCUAGAUACACAUCUUCUUUCCUGUUUCUUCAUUUCUUAAAUCUCUCCAUUCUUUGCCAGAAAUAAAAUUAAAAAUAAAAUUUUAUAUAUAUAUAUAAGUAGUAAUGUGCUAGCGUCACAGGAAGGAAUGCAGAAAGGAGCCAGUAGUACUUAACAGUCACUUGGGAUCCUCGGUGACAUAUUUUCUAUGCCAAUCCAAUACCACCUCUAAUAUUACGCCAAGUGUCCUAUUAUUAUUUGCACUUUAAUUUUCUAAUAAUUUAAAUUGAUUUGAUUUGACACAAGUUUUCUUUACCUUCUAAACCUUUAAACCAAAAUUAACCGACCGGACCAAUGAUACUCAUCUUAUUACUUGAGCAAGCAGUGAAGUGCGCUGCCAUGGCCGCCCGCUCCAUCGUCCUCACUAUGGCUCAGUAACAACUGACAAAUGGCAGCGUUAUUGAAGAAAUUGGCAACGAAGGCUGCACCGAUGAUCGCAUUCAAUGGAGCUUUUCUAGCCCAAUCCAAGUCUACUUUUCUAAAUUUCCGUAUCCCCUUUGGAGCUAUUGCAGCGGUUUCCGGUGGCAUAUCAUAUUAUUACUACUUCUCUUUUUCAUCCGUGGUAAUUUCUCCCAACUAUUUCAUCUGUGUUUCGGUCACUUGGUCUGCCACGUCACAGCUCUGUCCUCCACAGAUGGAAAUUGUCAGUUGUUACCGAGCCAUAGUGAGGAAGAUGGAGCAGGCGGCCAUGGCAGCGCACUUCACUGCUUGCUCAAGUAAUAAGAUGAGUAUCAUUGGUCCGGUCGGUUAAUUUUGGUUCAAAGAUUUAGAAGGUAGAGAAAACUUGUGUCAAACCAAACCAAUUUGAAUUAUUAGAAAAUUAAACUGCAAAUAAUAAUAGGACACUUGGCGUAAUAUUAGAGGUGGCAUUGGAUUGGCAUAAAAAAUAUGUCACCGAGGAUCCAAGUGCUUAACAGUUGGGUAAAAGUAAAAAUAACGCAUAUGAAUUUGCAUGCCAUCUCAAAUGCUCGCAUGCAAUAAUAAAUGUCAAAAGUUUAGUCAACAAAAGACCGACCAACGUUUUUUUUUUUUUUUUUUUAUAAUAACAUUCAUCAACCAACAACCUUCCAGGACACCAUGGCACGGCAGUAAAUGGAGUAUAUAUAUAUAUAUAUAUAUAGUAGCAAAACAAGACAAGACAAGAGACAGACUCACUCACAGUAACCUAUUUUAGUCAGAUUGAUUAAUUAAUUUCGGGUUAGUUUGGUUGUCUUUGUCUUCACUCUUCUGUAAUAAAUUGUCACUCAGCGCCGGUGUCGUCCUGUUGGAUUGUUACAAAAUAAUUGAGGAGAAAUAAUUGCGAGGUGGUGGAGUCACUAAUUCGUUGUCCUUCCAAUUCCAAAUCCUUUCUUUCACUGGAUCCUUUCAUUGUGGCUCUAGGUUUUGGUUGGAUGUGGCGGCCGGCAUGAAAGUGACGGAGCAGCCCGCAGAGGCUUUUACGAAAUACCGAAGGCUCGAAUCAUGACAAAGAUUUCCCCAUGAAAUUAAUUAAGCUUCAGAGGGAUACCACACACACAUAUUGCCCUCUUUUAACCGGUGCAUCAUUUCAUUUGAGGGAUGGAUCAUGGAGGAGGGCAUUUUCUGCUUCUCUUAUUUUUCUCCUCUCUUCUCUUCUUGAGUAGUGAAUAGUGAUUGCCCUUCUCAAGUACAGAGUACAGUAGUAGUAUAUAGUAGUAGCAACUACUCUCCGUUUUUGAAUUGUACUGCUCCGUUUCAACAUACUACUGUUACUGGUCAUGAGAAAAAAAUUCUUGCUUCAGUUUCUUGUAUGAGGUAGCAGAAAUCUAUAGGUCGAAACUCGAACGAACGUCCGACAAAUGACCUAAGAAAUGAUUUUCCUGGUGCCCAUUGAUCUAUAGAACCCAAUGGCCUAAAAAAUUAGCUAGCUGAAAACACCACCAUCUCCACGGUCCUGGAACCUCACCGGCAGCCCAAUGUAGAAAAAAAAAAAAAAGAAGAAGAAAACUCAAAUGCUGCUGACUGCUCUGCUGAGUGUCGACUGAGAAGGAAGGAAGGAGAGUAGAGAGAAGAAUGGUGGCCGCCGCCUAUUCGCCGUCUCAUCUCUCUCGCGACCCACACCUCUUCUGUAACUCUCUUUAUCCCACUCACCUCCACCAACUCGGAAUCAUCCCCCAUAACGCCCUCGCUUUUCAUCCUCUCAAGCCCCAUCCAAAACCUUCCCUCUCUAUACCGGCUUCCCAACAACAAUCCCCCUCAAUUUCCCAAAUUCCUCACCGCCCAGAUGCUAAAACCAUCUCUUCUUCCUCAAAAAGCUAUAUCUGGGUCAACCCCAACAGCUAUAUCGGGGUAGGUGCUGCCGGCUCUCAAAUCUCAAAUUUUGCUUACGAUUCCCCAACAGUACUAAUUCAUCUCUCUCUCUCUCUCUCUCUCUCUCUCGGCUAACGGUAAAUGUAAUUUUAUGUGCAUAUCAGGAGACAUACAAAGCAAAAACCUUUGGAGCUAGCUUACUCAUACAUACAAAUUGUGUAUUUAAAAUAAGAAUUAAUAUUUUAUAUACUGAAAAUAAAAAUAUAAUAAUUUUUUUAUACUAAUAAUUUUGAAUAUAAAAUUUAAAUUCAUACUAUAUGGUAUAAUAUAAAUCUGUUAGUGCCCUCUGCAGCUUGUCCCUGGUCGAACCUUGCUGCUAACAAGUUGUGGAGUGUGGAGAAUAGUUUGUGGGAUCCAUUUCCUACGGAUACCCCUAAAAAAUAUAUCUCAGCAUGAUUACGUUACUUGAUUCUCGUCCGACUAUUAUCUUAAAAAGUCUGUUUGGAUUGUGAAUUAUUAGAGAUAUUUUUACUGUAGCACUUUUUGUGAUGUGAUGUAUGUGAGAUAAAAAGGUAAUUGGAAAGGUAAAAAGGUGUAUUGGAAAUUGUAACGAUGAUGUAAACAAAUAAAUUUGAGAAAAUAAAGCCCAAUCUGUUUGGUUAUAUUACAAGCGUCCCAAUUCAAUUAAAUUCCGCUGCGCUGCGCCUUCAAAUGUGUUGUUAACAGUCUACUUAACAAAUAUGCAAUCACUUGCACGACAGAGAGAGAGGAAGGGGACAAUUAACAUUGGAGGAGUCACUAAUCAGUCGAAGUAUACCCCCAGUUACAGUAGUUGAAAAGCCGAUGGCACUUGCACCACCACCACCACCACCAGCACCGACUUCACCUGAACCGUGCUCUCACCCGCCAGUUCCAGUGGGGUUCUGCUGUGUCCCAUGUUCGGAAGGGUACAACGGGGGGCCAUGCUACUAUGGUUAUGGGCGGCCCGCGCCCCCGCCGCCCUGUUAUGAUAGCUAUGGUUUCAGGUACGGGCAUGGGAAGGGAUAUACGGACAGCCGUUGCAAUUAUUUCAAUGAGGACAACACUGGGGGUUGCACGAUUAUGUGAGAGAGGAGUAGAGAAUUUGAUGGGGUGAUUUUACUGAUAUGAUGUGAAGAGCGUCCAAAUUAGUAAUCAAUUAAUUUUGUUUGGUGGGCGGUAAGAGCAAAUGCAUUUGAAGCAUUUAGUAGUAGUAUUGUGUAGUUAGCGCAAACCUUGAGAACAAUCUCCUGAACCUCUUCUUCCUUCUUUUCUUCUUUCUUGUCCCCUUCUUCUUCCUUUUUACUAGUAUCUUCUUUGUUUCCCGGUACUUGUUUCUGUUGCUCCUCCUUGUUCGCUUCCUCUUUCUUCUCCUGCAGCAUACCAUGCAUGAGAUCAAUGAGAAAGUGAUAGCAAAACUUAUUACAGUAGUUACUGGGAUUUCCUUCCGUUCAUUCGAGGGAGCAAUUAGAAUAAUCUUGUGCAAGGAUAUUUGGAAGUAGAAAACUAAAAACUUACUUCGCCCAUAUCGUCUAACUCUGACAAGCCCCUCUUCCUAGUCCUAGCUAAUACUACUAAUCAGUAGUAUAUAUGUUUAUAUAGAAUGUAUUACUGCAGGGAGGAGGGGGGGGGGGGAUCGUGGAGAUUUUCUUAUACAAGAAAUGAAAUGAAAUGAGAGCAAGGACCCUUUCUCUCAGUAUAGUAGGCAUACAGCAAGCUCGGGGCUUUGGGGUGAAGGAAAAUGGGAAGAGAGGAACGUUUAAUUUAAGUAGCGGGUGGUCGCGGUCUGGUGGUACUGCCUACACUGCCCGGUGCCCACUGCUGCGGCUGCUCCAAAAUUCCAAAUUUCUUUAAAGCGAGUUGCCUACGGUGCUGUCCUUCAGCUGACUCAGCACCUCAUAAUUUUGGCCCCCUGCUUAUGAUUCUAUCUCCGACUACGAGUACAUCAUCUGCAAAUGUAGUAGUCGCCUUUGACUGAUUAAAUAGUAGUCUGACACUACAGUAAUUUAGGAAAAAAUAUAUAUAGUAAAUAAAAUCUUGCAUACGUAGAAGUUAAUGGAAAGGAAAUACUACGAAUUAUUACGGAGAUGGAUGGGAAAGGAUUCCAACUUUGUAAAAGCCCUUGGAGUUAUCCUGCAAGCAAAAACCAAACGAAUGGUCGGCCUGGUAAGGGCUAUCAGGAUCUUUAAAAAAGAAAAGUUGGAAUCUAGCGGGACCUCCCCGCCCCCAAUUUACGACCAGUUUUCAGGAAACCAUUCACUGUAUAUAUGUGACGCUUCUGGCUUCCGCUCAUGUAUAUAAUCUGCUGUAACUAUUGUGUGUGUGUGUGUGUGUAUAGGAGUAUGUUUUUUGAUGACUAAUGUAACUAUUGGAAUUACUCAACUUCCUUCUUCGAUUACAUUACAUACUUGAUCGGCUAUAUUAUUUUGAUGAUCCCAAAUUAAUUAAGAUGAUCGACCUUGUAAUAAUGAUUAAUUAAUUGGUUAGAAAAUAAUUCCAAUUUACCACUUGCUUCCACAUGUCAUCACAUAGUUCUUGAGAACUAGUUGUUGCCUAAAUACAAAACAGGCUUCUGCCUACUUUUGAAUUUUGGCUUCCAUAGGAGGGUACAAGCGUGUAUACGAAAUCUUUAACUCUUCAGAAUUGAAGCUGCAAGUGCAAGAUUUAAGCAUCCGAAAGCAAUUAAUUUAAUGCCAUAUGCUACGGCUAUUGGAUUAGGCAAUAAUUUGCUAGUACUUACUAUAGCUUAAUGACUUAAUCGGCUAAUUACAGAAAUUAAUGCAGAAGAGGUCAACAGGCACUACUCGAAGACAAGCCACAAAAUCCAGGUGCGAUGAGGAAAAAGAAAAUUAAGUGAAAUCUAUAUACUAUUUCUUCAUGCAUGGCUGUCCCUUUUUGUUUACCCAUCUAAGGUUAAAUUUCUAUCUCAAAAUUCCUCGGGUUAAAUGAGUACCACAAGUUUUCUUGGGGAGACCUUUUUAAAGAUUUGUAGAACAUGCACAAGGAUAAUAACUUCAGUAGGAGUAUGUUUUUUGAUGACUACUGUAACUAUUUUAACUGCAGCGGGAUAAAUAUACUGGACGGACCAUAGCUUCAACAUUGCACGUUAUGGGAAAGAUUGUAAGUUGCUGUUCAAAUGUUUUGACGACAUCUUUAAACUUAGCAAGACGCAAAAUGUUAAAACAGAAAAACAGACGUACAAGUGCAGGAAGGAACAAUUAACGCAGCACAUUUCCUCAUCAUUCCAAGAGAGAUCGAACACUAGUAUACGUCUAAAAGCGAGUAGUAAUAAUAUUUUGCAAGAGGCAAAAAAACAACGGCAGUAAAAAAGAAAAUAGAAAAGUUGGGGGAAGAAGGACAAGUUUUGGCGAAUAGACAAAGAGUAACCGACGUCCCGAAGUGGGGCGAUUUUUUUUUUUCAAAAGCUUUGCGUACACUAACAUAUCAUGUAUAGUGAUGAAGACGGUAUACUUGUCUAGGAGGGAUGGCAAGGUUAUCCUGACCUGAAAUCACAGAGAAAGAAGCGGCCACCACAAUUUAAAGGACGGGGCUGUAACAUUUGACAAAGACGGCAGCCCACUGCAUAAGUGGUCCAAGUUCCAUGGAUGGAUCUUGCGUUUCUCAAAUGGUUGAAUUCUUCGAUACUAUCAUCACAACGUGUUAGUACAUGAUACGUUAUUAUUUUGAUUUCACACCGUACCUAGUUUAUAUAUUGGAUUGGAUGAAGAAAGACAAUUCAUAUUCAUGUCCAACGGCAUUUUGCCUGCUGCCUGGCUCUGCACUCUGCAGCCAGUCUCAUGGGCCUCACCGUGUAGUUUCAAGAGUGAGCCCAUAGAAUUGCUACGAACAGAUCUGGGUUUCAAGAUGGGCCGCCACUCCUUUCCUUCAUCAAUUCCUCCAGUAUACACAAUCCACUCAUCUAGGCAAGUGACGAUCAUUCGUUAUUCAAUUCCAGGGUACCUGAUCCACUCAACUAGUCUAGGCAUGUGACGAUUAUUCGUUAUUCAAUUCCAGGGUACGAACAGAUCCAUUCAACUAGUCGAGUCAAGUGACGAUCAGUCGUUAGCUGGCAAACUUUGAGGCUUAUGCUUCAUCCGGGACCUAACUUUUGGUAGGGCAGUAUUGAUAACUGGUUUUGCAGAAAAAAAAAAAUUCUGUUGUUCAAGUUGCAAAAGCAUGAGGUGUAAAUCUUCCGAGGGUUGAACUUAGAAUGCUGUCCAAAAUAAAUUUGACUAGUUGUAAGGGCAAGAGAAGACAGGUCAGAUACAUAAAAGGGAUAAUUUAGAAACCUCCCUUGAGGUUUUCAAUAAUUUCAUUGACCUCUCUUGAGGUUUGUAAAAUUACACUAACCUCCCUCAAGGUUUAGAUUUCGGUAACAAAAUUAGUCCAAAUCAGAAAAAUUACCAUUAAAAAUGUAUUUUGCGAAGAGAGAUAAACUUUUAUUCCAUAAAUGCCCUUAUGCUUGUGUACAAGUUGUAUUGUAAAGGAGUAAAAAAUAUAUUAAUAAAAGCGUGGGAAGGUAAGCGCAAAUAGUAAAGAACAAAAAAUAAGUAGCAACUGACUUUCUCUACAAAGUUGGACCAACGGGUAGUGCAUUAGAUUAUAAUGGAUAUUUUUCAGAUCUUCACCAUUUUGCAUAUAAAGGAACCAAGAAGGAUUAAGAUGGAUCUCACUUUUACUUGAAGCAGUAAAAGUUGAUGUGUAAAAAUAGUUUUGGAUGUGAUGUAUUAUGACUUUGAGCUGCUUUACGUCAAUUUAACUUUUUUCUUUAGUUGUUUACUUUUUCUUUUUUUCGGAAACAUUAACGAUGUAUUGAUCAUAAGAAACUUUACAACAAAAGUUGGGCAAAGGGCUCCAGCAAAGCUUUACAACAGUGCAUACGCUCGCACUUAUAAGGAGUAAUGUUUGAAGCGUGAACGCUAAGCCUAUGACAUAAAUCCAUCAUAUUUGUGGUAUUUUUUUUUGUAAUCUAAAAGGGCACAUUCGAAACAGUUUAGCUAAGUCCUUAAUGUCUUCCACACCAAUUUGGUGUGAUCAAUUGAAAUGUCCUUGCUGGACAGAUGAAAGCGAGUUCUUGUCCCUGAUGCCGACCAUCGCCCGUUCAGCCACCAACUCCUAUUCCCAUUUUCGUCAGUUGUUUACAAAUUAGCAGUGAAUUAUUUCCACUCCUACUUUAUCUAUCUUCUAGGAACAUAAAGAGUAGUAAAGCAGCAGUGCAGUGGGGCGGGGUAGGUGCUGCCGGCUCUCAAAUCUCAAAUUUUGCUUAGGAUUCCCCAACAGUAGUAAUUCAUCACUUCUAUGUUUACACUUUACACUUGCAUCCGGAAUGAAUGUUGUCACAAAAUCCAUCCAACAAAGUCAUCAUGUAUAUGUUAAACCCCCGAUAUAAUAACCAAACUGGUAAUAAAUAGUUAGUGGCUUUACCGUUGUUAGGAUGGAAUUCGUGUGUUGAUAUUUUUUUUUUUUAAAAAAUAAAAUUAAAUAAAAAAAGUAUAUAAACACAAGAUAAGAUAAUAAUAAUUAUCAAUAUGUACGCUUACAUGUGGUUUAUUAGAUGUGAUUUAAGUGUCGUAAUGAUUGCCCAACGAGUAUUACUCAGUAGAAAAAAAAAAUUCAUAGUUAAUUGCAAAGGGCAUAGGAUAAUGAACUUCUUGAUAAUAAUAAGAUAACGACAUUUUUGGCCUGGUCUUUUAAUUUAUGGGAUUGAUUGAUGGCUCUGUACGGUGGUAUUACCACACACGCUAACAAGUUUGGUACGUGUCUACAUGAAAACUGUCGGUGUUAAUAAAGAGUCUUUCCUCCGCCAUCCUCAUUUGCUUUUGGCUUUCUUUCGUACGAUUUCUUUUUCUUUUUCUUUCUCUCUCUCUCUCCCUUUUGGCUAACGGUAAAUGUAAUUUUAUGAGCAUAUCAGGAGACACACAAAGCAAAAACCUUUGGAGCUAGCUUACUCAUACAUAAAAAUUGUGUAUUUAAAAUAAGAAUUAAUAUUUUAUAUAUUGAAAAUAAAAAUGUAGUGAUUUUUUUACAUACUAAUAAUUUUGAAUAUAAAAUUUAAAUUCAUACUAUGUGGUAUAAUAUAAAUCUGUUAGUUUUUUUUUUUUUUUUUUUUUGUCAACACAGGGGUGUCCGGGUCAAGACCCGAAGGCGGCCCGACUAAUCCCCUGCGCCUGGAGUACAGCGCCACCCCAACCGCACCCAGGCGUUAGGUGAGGUUCGAUCCCACGACCUUGCGAGUGAUUUUCCAGCCGCAGACCGGGUGAUCUAACCCGGGAGUAGAAAAAGUUAUCCUUAAACCAACAAUAAUAAUCAUAAUUUUUGUGAGCAUUAGUUAAAUCUCAGCAUGAUUACCCUUGAAAUGUGUUGUUAACGGUCUACUUAACAAAUAUAUGCAGUCACUUGCACGAGAGAGAGAGAGAGAGAGAGAGGAAGGGGACAAUUAACAUUGGAGGAGUCACUAAUCAGUCGAAGUAUAGAUUGAUGCCACGCCCAAAAAAGCAAAAAAUAAAAAAUUGUGUAGUGUAAAAUGGUUGGCCCAUGUGGGGGAGAUGCAUCAUAUGCUUGGAUAAGCUCAUAAUUUCCAUCAUCAGUACUCACUACUAAUAACUUCAUUACUGUCAUUAAUAGUCAUCAUGGUUUCGUGGGAAUUGGUAAUAUAAAUAAUAAAAUAUAUUUUGGAAGGUGAGGUGGGCAUAUCAAAAUUCAAAGGCAGCAACGAACGGAGUAUGGAGGAUGGAUGUUGAUGGAGCGUCACAACUCAGCAAUUCCAGGCCACCACAUAUGCCUAGCCUACCUUACCUUACCUCAUACGCCCGUAUUAGAAAGCAGCAAAAUUCAACGCCCCUUUCAUUUCGUUUCCACCCUCCCUCCUUCCUUCCAUACUAUUACUAGGGAGUAGUAGUUAGCACUGCAAGCUGCCCGGUUGCCAUCUUUCUACAUAAAGUCCUCCCACUUUUUUCUACCUAAUUGCCUCCUACCGUCUAAUUCUUCCACCAUUUAUUAGCAUCAGUUUAGUAGUAUACUGCUUGCUUGCUUGCCUGCCUACAUCCCUUCCCCACUCCCCGACUCUUCCGCUCCCGCACCCAACUCCCCAACCAUUUAUUGUCAUUUGGGCUGUGGAUUCUUGAUCAGAUCCACCCAUCGCCACUGAUCACUGACUCCUUCCUUCAUCAACCAUGGCUGAGAAGGUAAGCCAAUUCUCCUGCUAGCUUUCCCAACCAUCCCUCAAAUGUUCGUGAUAUAUUAUUGUUUUGCAUCUUUUUUUUAGUAGUGUUUGCUUGCUCAAUCUGAAAAUUAUAAUUGCAAGUCUAUGACAGCACAUACAACGCGAGAUAUGCUUGCUUCUCUUUAUAUCAAGAUCUCUACCCACAUCUCCCAGCGUAAACCAUAUAAUUGUGCAUUUCUUGAUUGUUAUAUAUAUAUAUAUACACACACACAUGUAUGGAUCGAGUUUGACUAUUUUGCUCCGAUAAUAUAUAUGCAACCAUACAGGUGACUACGAUGAGACUCAAGGUUGAUCUUCAAUGCCCCUGCUGCUACAAGAAGGUCAAGAAAAUCCUCUGCAAAUUUCCUCGUGAGUCUCUUUAUGUUUUCAAUACCAGUAGAGUAGUAGUAGUUCUUCUUUAGAGCAAGUACAGUUAGUUGAAGGACAUCCACCGUUCCACCGACUAUGUACAUGGAUAGGCAUGUGCGCCACCAUGAGCUACAGUUUUUUUUAAAAAUAAUUUUUUCCCCUUCUCCAUGAUUAUUUAUUAGCCGAGUUCAACAACAAAAGUUGGGUAGUGUGGCUUAUGAAACUACUUGUGAUCAGUUAGUGGCUUUAAUUUGUAUGGACAAGAAUUUGAGUUUUUCUUUUUUUUUUUUCUUUUGUUGGGGGUGAUGCUCAAUGUUUUUGGACAAGAGAAAUCAGAGACCAGAUAUAUGAUGAGAAGCAAAAUCUGGUGACCAUCACCGUCGUGUGCUGUAGCCCCGAGAAAAUCCGCGACAAAUUAUGUUGCAAGGGUGGCAAAGUCAUUAAGAGCAUUGAGAUCGUGGAGCCACCAAAGCCCAAGCCACCGCCGGAGAAGCCUAAAGAGCCCGAAAAGCCUAAGCCACCCCCAGAAAAGCCCAAAGAGCCGGAAAAGCCCAAGCCACCCCCAGAAAAGCCCAAAGAGCCGGAAAAGCCCAAGCCACCUCCAGAAAAGCCGAAGGAGCCCGAAAAGCCCAAGCCACCCCCGGAAAAGCCCAAAGAGCCGGAAAAGCCCAAGCCACCUCCAGAAAAGCCGAAGGAGCCCGAAAAGCCCAAGCCACCUCCAGAAAAGCCCAAACCACUACCACCACCACCUGAACCGUGCUCGCACCCACCAGUUCCAGUGGGCUUUUGUUGUGUCCCAUGUUCGGAAGGGUACGGCGGGGGACCAUGCUACUACGGGUACGGGUACGGGUACGGGCGGCCUGUGCCCCCGCCACCUUGUUAUGAUAGCUAUGCUUACGGGUACGGAUAUGGGAAGGGGUACCCGUACAGUCGCUGCGAUUAUUUCAGUGAGGAGAACAGUACGGGUUGCACGAUCAUGUGAGAGGAGCAGAGAAUUUGGUGGGUGACCUUAGUGUGUGUGUGAUUCUACAACUAUAUGGUACGGUAUGAUGUGAAAACCGAAGAGCGUCCAAAUUAAUUAAUGACUGCAUCGAAGCAAAAAUAAUACUAGUAUGUACUUAGGGCCUUAGGCCCCUUAUAAGACCUAUAAAAGGAAGAAGAAAAUAAUAAUGUGUAUAUGAUUCUGGAUUAUGGAGAAAGAGAGAGAGAGAGAUGUACAGGCUUAUUCAAGUUGCCUGUCCAUUAGAAUAAGCUUUUGUAUGUAUCCAAAUGGAACGUCGUUGCAUCAAAUUUUCUUUUCAUUGUUUAUAAUAAUAAUAUAAUAAAAGUCCUUUACAAUCAUCAUUGAUAUGCGUUAAAAGUGAAUGUAUUCUCUUUUUCUUCUUCUUCUUUCUUGGAUUUCAUUUUCUUACUUUGUUCUUUAGUAGUAAUAGUUGUAGACAUCAAUUUUUUUUAAAUUUCAAAUCCACUAUUUUUAGUUUUAUUUUUUUACUUAUAAAUGGCUUAAGUAAUUAUUUUAAUUUUAUUUUGUAAGUUUAUGUCAAAAGAAAGAAAAAGAAAAGGAAAAAUGGAUGUUCAAAUGCAAGAAAAAUAGUAAAAGUUUUUUUAUUUGCUUCUAACCUAAAAAAAACACCCAAAUAAAAACCCAUCCAAAAUUCAAAUAAAGCCCAAGUAAAACCCAGCAAAAGCCUGGAAGUAAAGAGGCCCGAUGGCCCAACGCUUUUCUUUACGCAUGCAUGUAUUGCAUGUGUGCCAUAUUCCUCCCAUUUUCACAGACAAAUGAACCGGUACAAGCAAAGCCGUAAGCAGUUGGCUUUUGUUGCAAGAUUUUUUUUUUUUCAUUCUUUCUUUCUCCCCAAGGCUGGGUUGGUACAAGGACAGCUCAUUACAUCCCAAAUUUUAUCUUUGAAGAUACAACACAAAUGAAUCAAAGGGAGGAAAAAAUAGCAUAUUACCCAUUUUUAUCUCAACCCUUCAUUGCUAGGUUUUAGAAUUUUUGUUUCAUAUAAAUACAUAGCAAACGCAGGUUUAACAGUUUUGAGAGGAGAAAAAGGAGCAAGGAAGCGGCCACAUAAGAUCUGGGGUAGGAGAGAGAAAAAGAGCAAAAAAAUCCCAUAAUCAUUUUUGUUUCAUAUAUAUACAUAACAAACACAGGUUUAAGGUUUUGCUUUCCUCUUAAUUUUUUCCUUGUUGUCUUUUUUGUUUUGAUCUUUCCAAAUCAUUUAGCUGCUACUAGAUCUUGUUUAUAUUAAAGAAACUAGUUUUGUACCCAUUCGUGGAAUGGGAAUUGUUUAAAAAUAAUAAAUUAUUUAGUGUAGUUCAUAAAACUAUUUGCAUAAAAUACAAACGUAUUGUAUAAUCUAUUAUAACCUUUCUUAAAUACAUUACUAUGUGCACAUUGUUAUUCAAAAAUAGUCUUAUAAUGUAAAUUUAAACAUCUAAUUCAGUGAUUAAUAAUUCAAAAAAAAAUAUUCGACGAUAUGAUAACAUUCAAAAACUUGAAAAUAGGCAAGAUCAAUCUUGGCUGAUCUUCUGUAAACAAAAGAAUGGCCAACCAGUUACCAAAACAUCAAUUUUGGUACUUAAUAUAAAUGGCUUAAAGGUUAAUGUGAAAAGAAAAGAAGCCGAAUGAAAUAUUAAUAAAAGAUCAGAAUUCAGAAUCAAUCAUGUCAUAGGAACACAGCAACCUUCCAAAUCUGUUCACGGCUAAUAGAAGCAAAACGAAAACGUAAGAUGUAUUUUGCUCCUAAGUCAAAAAUAUAAAAAAUCUAAAUAGUCUGAUGUAUAUUGCAUGACAUGAACUGCUGUAUGACAAUGAACUUGAUGCCUUGCCAUUUAUGUAAUCAGUGACACCUUCUUGUUCUUUAGAAGCUUUCUACCAAAGUCUAAAAAAAACAUUGAAAACUGCACAAAAUUUUUUUAACCCCAGAAACCUAGAAAAUAAAAAAAAAUUAGUACAUUGUUGAAGACAAUUAAUAAAUUAUCAAAGGCAAUUAAAAAAUCUUGUGAAAACACAUAGUUUAAAAGGCCACUUUUAAAUCACUAACCAAAAAGCAAUAUGUGUUCUACUUGAAUUGAAAAGUGAAUCCAUACAUUGAAAUAACAAAUUAAUUACAAAAGCCUUGUCAGAAAUAAAAAUCAAACCGUAACUUUUGAAGACUUACUUAGAAAAUUCAAAUUCAAUGACCUAGCUAUGAAGAAGGUGUAGGAAAUUAUAGACCACAUACAGCGAGCAUAAACAAAGUCCAAAUGCGGUCCUUGAGGGAAUAAAAACGAAAUUCCAAAUCUGAUCCUUGCAUUGAAGUUAAAAAAAAAGAAAAACUUUCCAAAAAAAUUGGUGGAAAAAGUGUAAACAUUUUCACUGCUUGAUAAAGUAAUGAAUAAUAGAUCGAAAACCAUAUAUAUGAGUAAAAAUGUAGAGUAACUGCGAUAGCGAUAAUCUGAUAAAAAUAAUCUAAUAUUCGAAUUGAUAUUUCGAACUUUUGAGUUGAAGAUGAGAGAGAGUUAAAAACAUAAUUCAAAAUUAUUUAUAUUAAUUCCCAGGAAAUUUAGGCUUGACGAUUAGGGUUAAGGAAAAAAAAAGGUGAAAGAAUGAAAGAGAUAAUUAUGAAAGAAUUAUCUAGAAUUGUAAAAGUUAAAAAAAAAAAAGGAUGGAAUAGCGUAGGUUAUUAGGGGUUAACUCAUAAAGCGCGUUGCACCUACUUGCCCUGUCGUUAAGCCAUGUAGGAAAGAGAUAAAAUAAAAGGAUAAAAAUGAGAAUACGACUUUAUUAUAUAUACUAGUUUUGUACCCGUUCGUUGAACGGGAAUCUUCAAAAAAUAAUAAAUUAUUUAGUCAAUUUUAUAAAAAUGUUGAUAUGAAAUACAAACUUAGUGUAUAUUUUACUAUAACCUUUCUUAAGUAUAUUACUAUAUGCACAUUGUAAUAUAAAAUAUUCUUAUAAUAUAAAUUUGAACAUCUAAUUCAGUAAAUAAUAAUUUAAAAAUGGAAAAAAUAACAUUCAACAAUACCAUAACAUUCAAAAACUUGAAAAUAAAUAAAAAAUGCAGUAAAUAGUAUCAAAUAAUAUUCUACUCUUCAGAAACUUGUUUUUGUUUUUCAUCUGUUUGAACAUUCUCCUCGAUUUGUCCGUGCAAAUCAGCAUUUAUUGAUUUUCCAUUAUCACUGCAUGAUAGCAAAGCAGGAUAACUAAGUAUAAGAAAAUAAAUGAUUUAUCGCAUUCAAGAUUGUGUAUAACAACACGUAAAGAUUAUAAUUUAAGAAAGUAAAAUAGUAUAUUAAAUUUACCUUCUCAUGCAAAUCUUUUUAUGAGGAUUCCCUUCCUCUGUGGUUUUUGUUGAACCCUCUAAUGAAUGAUUCAUAUGAAGUGUAUUGAAGUGUUGUUGAUUAGAAUCAUCCGUUAUACUAAUUGAGAUCUGGGAAGAAGAUGCUUCAGGUUGGUAUUGGUUGUCGGUUCCACCAAUCUGAUAAUAAUUUAUCAAAAUUAAAGGCAAAAAUAUUAUGUGAGAUAUAAUAUGUGAAAUAUAAGAGAAAUUUAUUACUAAUUCGAGAUAUAUUACUAAUCCUAUGUGUUCAUAAAAAAACAAACAGAAAAUAAAAACAAAAAAAAAACAAAAUUCAAGAUAUAUUACUAAACUUUUACAAUUGAAGAUCAAUAUGUCAUUUAAAAAAAUAUAUGUAUUAAAAGAAGAUGUACCUGAUAAUCAAGAGGAGUGGAAAUCCAAAAUCGAUGUUUUAAUGUGCCAACCGCUUGCACUGAAAAUACUUAACCAUGAAUUUGAUGCUUGAAAUCAAUAUAUUAGAGGCUAUAUGUAAUGUAGGCAUAAGAAAUAAGAAUUGAUAAGAAUAUAAAAAGAUAUUGAUAAGAACAUUAAAUGUAGGUUUAUCUUGAUUUAAGUUGUUUAAAGUACGUAACUUUGGAUAAGAAAUAAGAAUCCUAUAAUAUUAAGAAUUCUUAUGGGAAAUAAAAGUGCGUUCUCAAGAUAGAUUUUACCUAUUUUGAAAGACCACCUCAACUAUAUCGAGUCCUUUAAGCGCAUGGACUCCUAUGGUGUGGGCCCACACACUAAAUACUCCCUACCAUCUGAGCAGAGAUGUAUUGUGAAUCCUAUAACCUAACAAUGAGUAUAACCUGCAUGUUUUGAUUAACAACGAACGGGUUUAUAAGAAUUUACAAACCUGUGCUCAAAUAGGAAUUUAUAUUUGACCGUAUAGGUCAAAUACAUAUAGUUAAUUGGAUUCAAUUAACUUUUUGUUUUCCAUAAAUUUCGUGCUAUGCACUAUGUCUUGAUAACGCACUUAAUAAUAAAAUUUAUUAAGAAUCUUAUUUCCAACAUCAGAUAUUGAGUUCUGUUAUUAAUGGUUCAUUUUGAAAUUUGUUACUUUUCUACUUCUUCUAGUGAUAACAAUUCUUAUUUAUUUCGGUUCCCUAUGCAGUACACAAAUUAUUGGCAUGAAUUUGGAGAUAUAUCUAAUAGAGAUAUUUAUGUCUCUUUUAUUUAUAUCGCAUUACUUUCCAAUUUCAUUUUUGGGUAAGAAAUAAGAAUCAUAUAAUAUUAAAAAUUCUUAUAGGAAAUAAGAAUUGAUAUAUAUCUAAACAAAAAAGAAGCAAGUCACAUAGGAAACUACUUGCCGUCUUGUUAAGCCACGUAGGAAAGAGAAAAUAUUAAGGCCUAAGGGAUAAAAAUGAGAAUACGACUUUAUUAUAUAUAUAUAUAUAUAUAUAUAUAUAUAUAUAUAUAUAUAUAUAUAUAUAUAUAUAUAUAAUGGGUUAGUGUUUUUUUUUUUUGAAUGUGUGACAUGGGUUUUGGAGCUCAAGUCCAGUACCUUUAUUAGGUUUAAAUUUGUAAAAUGAAUUGGACUAGGCUGCUCUUUUCAAUAAGACAACUUUGCUUAUUUUUCUUGGGUCAAAGUGAUGCGGCCCAAAUGCGUAAAAAUUGCCCAACAUUGUUUAAUAUGUAAAAUUUUUUAUAAUUUCACCCCUAAUCUUUUAAGUAAUUUUAUUGUAACCCUAAAACUUUGGAUUUCUCUCAUUUAGGCCCUUAUUUAAAUUGCAUUUGGCCCCUAAACUUUAUUUUUAUUUACUUUAACCCUUAAUCUUUUUAAGAAUUGUAAUUUAACUCCAAAAACUUUCUAAUUUUUACAAUUUAGGCCCUAAUAAUUUUUUGAUUUCUUAAUUACAAUUGUUUCUUUUCUUUAAUUGCUAAUUAUGCUUUAUUUAAUUUGUAAAUUCUAGUUAUUUUAUGUUUAUUUACUUUUUUUGCAAUAAUAAAGGGAAUUUAGUAUAUGUUUACAUUUUCUUUUAAAGUGUUGUUAAUUAAAUUGGUGCAUUGAACCGUUGAUUGAUUUUGAAAAAGUAGACAAUUCUCUCUUUCCCUUACUUAGUCUUACUUCAAAAAGGAGGUAUCCCUAUUAUCUUUUGAAUUCCUUUUAUGUGCUCCUAUGUAUUUAUAUGAUUUUAUGUGUUUUUCUUUUAUUCAUUUUACUUUAAGUUUUUAUUCAUUUUAUGUUUGUUUAAUUUAAAUUUUAUGAUUAAUUGAAGGAUAUUUAAAUGCCCAAAUUUAAAUCUGAUCUUUCUCCCCUUCUCUCUCUCUAUUGGAGCUAGACGAAGGAAAACAACGCGGUAGGUGGUGUCGGCUCUCAAAUCUCAAAAUUUGCUCAAGUCAUGCUUCUGUGGGAAUUGGGAAUACGUGAAUGAUGAGGUAAUACUCCCUCCCUUUUUUUAUAACUGACGUUUAAGGUUUUGCACACCAAUUAAGAAAAGUUUUUCAUUGUUUAAAUCUAUACACUACUUUCCUUUUGUACCCUCAUUAAUUGUCCAAUUCACCCAUGUUUUCUCUCACUAGAGUAUUAAAUGGUGCUGUUUUACUAGGCCAAAAGUAAUGCAAACUAACUCCCACCAAUUAUGAAAAGAGAGAUAAAAGGGUAAAAUUGUGAAAAAAUAAUUAAUGCUGCAUGGGGAUAAUAAAACGACAGAUAAAAGUACUUAAGAGCAAAUUUCUUAAACGUCAGUUAUAAAAAAAGGGAGGGAGUAUUUUGGAAGGUGAGGCGAGCUUAUCAAAGGCAGCAACGGAGUAUGAAUGUUGAUGGGGGAAGGAUAUGGUGUUAAACCUCUGCACAACUCAGCAAUUCCAAGCCAGCAUAUAUACCUACCUUAUCUUAUAUCUAACUAUUAUAUGAGAUCGAGUUGAUUUUUGUUGUAACAACUUCAAUAUCUCCCGUGUGGCACAAUGAGAAGAGAAGCAUGAGGAGCUUUCUUUGUUUUCUUCUUUUACUUUCAAUACUCUUUUGGGUCAAUGCUGAUAUAUAAAUUUUUCUCCUCCCUUUUAAUUAUUUUGCAGACCCAAUGAACCAACCUAUUCAAUGAUCAUUUAGGUCAGUAAUAGCUGAUUAUUUAUUACCUCUUUAGUCAAGAAUAAAUAAUUAAUUGAGAAAUAUUUGAUAUUAAAAAUUAAAUUUAUCAAUUAUUGCUUUGAAUAAAUGUAUAAGCAUAACAAAUUUAAGUGUAAAUUCAAGGUUAACGUUUAGAAUGCAACCUUAUUUUUCGAUAGAUUUUUAAAAUUAUUUGACUUUGAGGGAAAAUAAAAUACCAAAAUUAAUAUUUUUUUUUUCUGAUGAGAGCAGACACAUCAUGACAAGGGUUUUAAAUGCUAGAUUAAUUAUUUAUAAAGCAUAUAUAACUGCAUCGCCUACUUCAAUUUAUAAUUUUAUUUAAUUUUAUAAACACUCUCCUUAUUCUUAAGGAUUAGUGGCAAUAAGAGAUAAAAAAAAUUGAUAACUUUUUCAUAUUAUGAAGAAAUUGGGUAAGAGAUGAUUUAACUGAUGGCAUAAAAAUGAAAACAAAUAUGACAGUUAUGAGCUUUAUUCAUUUAGAAAGCAAUUUUUUAGGUUUUUAUUUGUUUGGGAUUUAUUGGAAAAAAUAUGAUAAAACACAUAUUUUUACGGUGUGGGAAAAAUAUUAAGAUGUAUAAAUCAUAUCUCUAAUCAAUAUUUAAAAAGGAAUAUGGAAAAAAUGAUUUUUGUUGCAAUAAGACUGCAAAACGUCGUGCUAGGAAAGAUGUAUAUAAUCUAUUUUACAUAAUUAAAAUGAAACAGUCAAUCUAAGAAUUAUUUUAGCCAAGUCGUAUUUAAUCACAAAGCAAAUUUUAAGGUUUUUAUUUAUUUGAGAUUUUUCGCUUUUUUUUAAAUAAUUUUGAUAUUUUGCUUAACUUUGGACCAUUAGAUUUGCUAUGGUUGAUUGCUUUCCUUUUGUAAUCGUUAGAUUGUUCAAUGGUCAGACAACUUACUCAUCUAUUUUCGUAAAAUUCAAAAUAGUUGACUACUCUUUUGUACAUAUCGUUCCUGGUUUCCAUUUUCUUCUUGUACAAACAAUCUUUACAAAUCAUAGGCCAUUAUUUUACUUCCUUCAAUGAGUUGUUACGAUUAGAUGUUUUCCAUUUACCUAAGAGUUGGGUUGAUCUUUGUAUAAAUCACAGGCCGCUAGUUUCCACUUGAUUAAUUGUUCUUGUACUUUCAUCAUACAUUCUCCAUUAGAUUGGAUUAUGAAUCAAUGGAGUGGUUUGCUUAUCAUUGACUACAUUUUUAGAUGAAAAUUUUGACAACAAUAAAUCAAGAGGCUACAUUUGACAAAGUAGAUUAAAGCUUAGAAGAUUUUAUUCAUUUUAUUUGUUCUCAUAGCUUCCUUCCUAGUAAUUUUUGUAAAACAAAGAUCACAAGGUGUUUAGCUUCUCCUUCAAUAACUUAUCACCAAUACAACAUAAUUAAAACCAAAAACAUUUUAAAGUUCAUAGAAAUCAAUAUAUUUUUCAAGAAUACACAUUGUAUUUACAAGUUAAACAAAAAGAAACAAAUGUGAAUUUAUUUCUAUACAAUGCAAUUACUAAUAAAUUCAACAAAACAACUUAUUAUUUCCUGUGAAAAAUAUAACUACAACUGCUACAAAGUUAUUGUUUCAUCAAUUACUAUCAAUGAAUUUAUUCCAAUGGGCACCGGCUGGGUGAAUUUCUCGGAAUAAUGUUAAAACCAAAAAUUAUCACAAAAGUGGUGUUUCUAGCUGAAGGGUCGCUGCAAAUAGGAAGUGAGGCUUCAUAAAAAAAUUGUUUUAAUUUUCACCUUUUUUUGCCAACAAAGUUAAUGGAGUGGUUUUUUUUUUUUUUUUUGGCAAAAGCUUCAUGAGCGACGAAGAAUAUUAUAUUAAGCUCAUGUGCGGCGAUUUCUUUGUUUAUUUUUUUCGUAAAAUCCUAAACUUAACCCUAAAACCCUAAUCCCUAAACCCUAACACUAAAACCUUAAUAUGUAAACCCAAACCAUGGAAGCCUAAAAUUUAAUUUACCUACAAGAAUUAUGCUAAUUUCAUAAGCGGUGAUUAAGCAUGCUAUAAAAAUUCGUUAAGGUAUCGGUUGAACAUACAAAACUAAUUAAAAAUGAAAUUUGGCCAAAUCAUCCAUUUUUUAAUACUUUAAUUUUAAUGUUAAUUUAAAUAACGAUAAAUAAUACAGCAUUCAACGAUAAAAUGGGUACAAUAAUUAAUAAAAACUUGAAUGAUAAUAAAAUGAGAGAUUUGACAAGAAAAAUUUUUAAAAUCUGAAUAUCACCUGCCAACACGCCUCUUACCUUUAUCACAUGGAGUGGUGGAGUAGCCACAUUUCCAUAGGUAUGGGAGUGCGUAUCUCACUGAAAUGACCUUCGAAAAGCUGGAACGGUUGGUGGUGUGAAGAAAUCUUUUUUUUGGCCAAUUGCUGCAGGGACUUGAAUUAUCAUACAGGUGUACUAGUCCCUGCUGCAGGCCAAUUGCUGCAUCAGAUUAACUGUUUUUAAGAAUCCUAUAGUGAGACAAUUGUUACAUGAAGAGAAUAAUAAUCCAAGAUUUUUCUACUAUAAGAUGGUCAUCGACAUUCGCAAUUUUUCCACCAUAAAACUAAGGAUAGAAUAUUUGUCUCUGUCCAAUGUAUAGAUUAUUAUCGUUCAGGUUGACAAAGUUUCAAUGGAUUAAUCUUUCAAGUCGGAUACCUUUAUGGUGCGAACCUGCCUAUGGUAGGAAGACGGAGACGUUAAAUUGUUGUACAGCGCGUGGAGAGGAAAUAUACGAGAACCGUCUGCGAAUACAACCAAAAAGCACACUGACUUCCGUACGAGUUGGGGUAGGAAGUGUUUUUGCAUGUUAAAACUAGAGGCAUUUAUAUAAUUGUAAAUGUACCCAUUACGACUGGAAAAAUGUUGCAAAUGCCUUGGACAAAAAAUGUGUAUAAAGAAGGUACCGAAAUUUUAAGAAAUAAUAAAUGAUUAUCGCACACGUGUGGGGGAUAAUAAUUUGGAAGAAGGAAAAGUGGAGGUAAACGAAAGGAUUCAAGCCUUCAUUAUAUUUAUAUACAUAUAUAAAUUUAGUGACCAAGUGUUCAGCUUAAGCAUCCGGAAAAAUGGUCCCAUGACUAUCGUUAUGGUAAAAAAACUUAUUAUAAUAGGUUAUAAUAAAUUUAGCAACCAUUUGAUUACCUGUUGGACUUAUCCACUUGAAUAGAAUUAUGCGUAAAAAUAAGGAAGUAAGUUUGUCAUCUAAAAUAGUAAGUUAACGUAAUAAACUAGUAAUUUUUACAGUCCAAAACGUGAAUUGAAAGUAUUACGAAACAUACUUUUUAAAGAGAUAAAUUACAAUUUUUAUCCUCAAUAUACUUUUGAGAGAGUAAGUUUAUUUGAAGUAAUAGUAUGUUUUUAUACAUAAAUAAUCAUUUUUACUUAUAACAUAGUAAAUUUGAUUAAUGACAAAAACAUGCUAAUUUAUGGCAAAAAUUCUCUAUUAUGCUUAAAAAACUUAUGCCAAGCCCAUAUUUUAUUAUUAUUUAAAAUAGCACUAAAAUAUUUUAUUAAUGAUUAAAACUGAGUACCUUACUUAGUAAGUAAUGUUAAUAUACUUGUAUAAAUACUUGAUCAUAUGUGAAAAAAUUAGUAUUUUUGAAAUUUAUACAUAAUUAAAUUUUUUCUGUUGCAGUUUAAAACAAAAAGUAAGCGAAAUUUUUUUUGCGCAGAGCUCCAAAAUCCACAAGUCCAAAUAGUUAGUCUGAAAGGGAAAGAUACAGCUGAAUAGCAUUGUUUAAAGUACCAAAUAAAUAGAUGUAAAAUGCUAGUUAAAAACUGGUACUUUGACAUAUAAUAAAGGAAAGUCAUAAAAAUCAGGUCAUUUAUGGAAAAAAUUUUCAUUAAUAAAAAUUCCAGCUCUUCACGGCUUUCUUACCAGUCUUCCAAAACAUGAGCAAAGUGCCAAUAAUUGAAAUAGUAAUCUUUUCGAUUUAUACAGAAUUAAUUUAUUUUUUGCAAAUUAAAAAAAAAUAAUUGAAAUUUUUUAUCAGAAAGCACAUAAGUCAAAAGGAUUGGUCUAAAAGGGAAAGGAAUAGCAGAUAUAUACAGUACUUGUAUUUCACGUUCGAAGGACUAUAGUGCUGUUUUUGACAAUACCCCGAAAAAUAUGCAAUGCAAACGGAACCGAUUUUUCAUUAUUUAAAAUAUCAAAUAUGUGAUUGUGUUUUAACUGUUAUCUAUUGGUAUUCUAAAGUAUAAUUUUUUCAUCUAAUACCACCUCUUUAACACGCGUUUUCCCUUAAAAAAUUUAUUUAUUGGAUGAAAAAAAAUAAACCUUUUAUGCAAUAAAACACUAGCUCUUUAUGCCUUUUCUCCAUUAUAAGAACAGAGUACUCAUUUUUCCCUAAAAAAAUUAAUGGAUAAAAUAAAAUAAAAUAAAAACCGAUUUUAGGUUAAAACACUAGCUCUUUAUGACUUUUCUCCCUUAUAAGAGCACAGUACCCAUUUUCCUCAUCAAAAAUUUUAUUUAUCGGAUAAAAUAAAAAUAAACCUGUUUUUCCAUAAAACACCAGCUCUUUAUGACAUUUCUCCAUUAUAAGAAUAAAGUACCCAUUUUCUCACAAAAAUUUAUUUAUCGCCUAAACUUAAAAUAAACCCAUUUUUUAAUAAAAUACUAACUCUAGCACUUUCCUCCAUUAUCAGAACACAGUAUCGAUUUUUGCAUAAACAAAAUUUAUUUAUCGACUAAACUAAAAUGAAAUCCGUUUUUCAAUAAAACACUAGCUCUUUAUGAACUUUCUCCAUUAUAAGAACAAAGUACCCAUUUUGUCAUUAAAAAAUUUAUUUAUCGGCUAAACUAAAAAUAAGCCCAUUUUUUAAUACAAUACUACCUCUUUAUCACGUUCCUCCGUUAUAAGAACACAGUACCCAUUUUUGCAUAUAAAAAUUUUAUUUAUUGGAUAAAAUAAAAUUAAAUCUGUUUUUCAAUAAAACACUAGUUUUAUGGCUUUCCUCCGUUAUGAGAAUAGAGUACCCAUUUUUCAUAAAUAAAUUUAUUUAUUGGAUAAAAUAAAAAUAAAUCCAUUUUUCAAUAAAGCACCAGUUACUUUUGGCUUUCCUCCAUAAAUUAUCUAUUUUCAUACGUUAAUUUAUUAGUUAGAUAAAAUCAGAAUGAAAUUAGGUUGAACAAUAAAUUACCCUUUACAAUGAAAUUGAAAUACAGAAAAGUAACCCAUAGCAAGUUUUAACUCCAUUUCCAAUACAAAAAUAUGCUACAAAUUCUUUUGGCAACCGCAAGACACCUCAUUCAUAAAGUCUCAAGAAACCUUUCCAACCAUUAUGCAAAAGCAACUUAUUCAUUCUAAAUUUUUAGCAUCAAUUUGAUUAUCAGUUGGACGUAUCCACCUAAAUAGGAUAAUAUGUAUUUUCUAGGAUACAAGACAUAAUAGGAAUUAAACUUGCAUUAAUGUAGACAUAACAAAAUGAGAGAAAUAGCAUAACAAUUAAUACAAUAAUAAGAAUAACAGAGUUGGUAUAACAAAAUUAGUUUAGUCUACAAAUUUAUUUUUUUCUGCAAAUAGUUCGACAAAAAAAAAGAAUUUUAGAUAAGGAGCUUUCCAAAUUGUCAAAAGUUCGAAUACUAUUUUAUUACAAUUUUACAUUUCUAAAAUUAAGAAAUGUUUAUCUCACAACAAAUCCUUUAAUUGCUCGUACAAAUCCUAUAAUCAUGCUCAUGUUUUUCCCACAUUUCCCUCACAUUUUCCCUACUAUCCAAUAAAAUUAAAACUCUCGAAUUUUAACUAACAGAUAAUAACCAACCAUGUCAAAUUAAUAUCUGCAAUUUCCAAUUAACAUCUCACAUUUACUGCUGACUUUACUGAUAGUAUUAACUAACAGUUAUUACUGACAUUCACAACUCACACUUACCACAUUACUCAUAGUAAUAACUAACUGUUAAUUUAAGAUAUUCGCAACAGCGAAAGUCACAUAUCCAAAAUUUAAGAGCAUGUUGAAAUAAUAUAGUUUACUCUCAGAAUCAUUCACAAAACUGCUGCAAACUAAUCCAAUUGACCCAUUUAAUUUGCCAUCAUAUAAAUUCAAUACAGUGAAAAAAUUACGCAUCAUGCAUUUCUUCACUAAGGAUAAAUCUCAGUUACAAAUAUUUCAGUCAGUGACAAAGCCAAGAUUUUUUUUCUAGAGAGGCUAAAAUGGAUACUCAAUUUUUAUAAUGGAGAAAAGCCAUAAAGAGUUAGUGUUUUAUUGAACAAUAGAUUUAUUUUAAUUUCAUCCGAUAAAUAGAUUUGUUUAUGCAAAAAUGGGUACUCUGUUCUUAUAAUGACGGAAAGCCAUAAAGAGCUAGUGUUUUAUUGAAAAAUCAAAUUUUCAUGUAUUUUAUCCGACAAAUAAAUUGGUUUAUGGGAAAAUUGGUGUUAAAGAGGUGGAAUUUUUCUAGAGGGGCUGAAAUGGGUACUCUGUUUUUAUAUUGGAGGAAAGGCAUAAAGAGUUAGUGUUUUAUUGAACAAUGAAUUUAUUUUUAUUUCAUUCGAUAAAUAAAUUUGUUUAUGCAAAAAUGAGUACUCUGUUCUUAUAAUUGAGGAAAACUAUAAACAGCUACUGUUUUAUUCAAAACCGAAUUUUCAUGUAUUUUAUCCGAUAAAUGAAUUGGUUUAUGGAAAAAUUGGUGUUAAAGAGGUGAAAUUUGAUGAAAAAAUGAUACUUUACGAUACCAAUGGAUAACAAUUAUAACACAAUCACAGAUUUGACAUUUUAAAUAGUGAAGAAUCGGUUCCGUUUAGAUUACAUAUUAUUCGGGAUAUUUUUCAAAAAUAACACUACAGUCCUUCGAACAUAAACUAUAGGUACUGUACGUAUAUGCUAUUCUUUUCCCUUUUACACCAUUCCUUUGACUUAUGUGCUUUCUCAUAAAAGAUUCUCAUUCAUUUUUUAAAUGGAAAAAAAUUAAUGAAAUAUGUAUAAUUCGAAUAAAAUACUAUUUUAAUUAUUGCCAUUUUGCUUAUACGUUGCAAGACUGAUAAGAAAAUCGUAAAGUGUUGCUAUUUUUAUGAAUGACAACUUUUCCCGUAAAUGGCCUGCUCAUUAUGUCUUUCCUUUAUUAUAUGUCAACGCACCUGCUUUUAAUGAGCAUUUUACAUCUAAUUUAUUUAGUACUAUAAACAAUGAUAUUCAGAAUGUUUCUUUCCCCUUUAGACCAACAACUUUGAUUUGUGGAUUUUUGUACUCUGAGAAAAAAGAUUUUCGCUUACCUUUUUUUUAAACUGCAAAAGAAAAAAUCAAUUUUUCCCAUAAAUCUCAAAAAUGCUUAUUUAUACACAUACCAUCAAGUAUGUAUACAAGUAUAAUAACUGUACUGACUAAGUAACGUACUCAGUUUUAAUCAUUAAUAAUACAUUUUUGUGUUAUUUCAAAUAACUCUAAAAUAUGGGCUACGUAUAAGUUUUUUAAGCAUAAUACAAUAUUAUGACCAUAAAUUAGCAUGUUUUUGUCAUUAAUCAAAUUUACUAUGUUAUAACUAAAACUCACUAUUUCUGUAUAAAAACAUAUUUUUACUUCAAAUAAACUUACUCCCUCAAAAGUAUAUUUGGGAUAUACUACGGUGGGAACCUGCCUAUAGUAGGAAGGUCGGCAGAGAGCGAUACGUGUUGACGUUAUAUACAGUCUAAACGGAGACGUUAAAUUGUUGCACAACGCGUGAAGAGGAAAUAUACGAGAAUCGUCUGCGGAUGCAACCAGAAAGCACACUGACUUCCGUACGAGUUGGGCCAGGAAGUGUUAUUGCAUGUUAAAAUUAGAGGCAUUUAUGUAUUUGCAAAUGUACCCAUUACCAAUGGAAAAAUGUUGCAAAUGCCUUGGACAAAAAAUGUGCGUAAAGAAGGUAUCGAAAUUUUAAGAAAUAAUAAAUGAUUAUCGCACACGCGUGGGGGAUAAUAAUUUGGAAGAAGGAAAAGUGGAGGUAAACGAAAGGAUUCAAGCCUUCAUUAUAUUUAUAUACAUAUAUAAAUUUAGUACCCAAGUGUUCAGCUUAAGCAUCCGAGAAAAUGGUCCCAUAACUAUCGAUAAGGUAAACAACACAAUUUUAGACAUGAUAUAAUAGGUUCUAAAAAUUUUAGCGACCAUUUGAUUACCCGUUAGAUCUAUCCACUUGAAUAGGAUUAUGGGUAAAAAUAAUGGAGUAAAUUUGUCAUUCAAAAUAGUAAGUUAACGUAAUAAAUUAGUAACUUUUACAGUCGAAAAGGUAAAUUGUAAGUAAUAUGAAACAUACUUUUUAAAGAGAUAAAUUGUAAUAGUAUAUCCCAAAUAUACUUUUGAGAAAGUAAGUUUAUUUGAAGUAAAAAUAUGUUUUUAUACAGAAAUAGUGAGUUUUAGUUAUAACAUAGUAAAUUUGAUUAAUGACAAAAACAUGCUAUUUUAUGGCCAUAAUAUUGUAUUAUGCUUAAAAAACUUAUACGUAGCCCAUAUUUUAGAGUUAUUUGAAAUAACACAAAAAUGUAUUAUUAAUGAUUAAAACUGAGUACGUUACUUAGUCAGUACAGUUAUUAUAGUUGUAUAUAUACUUGAUGGUAUGUGUAUAAAUAAGCAUUUUGAGAUUUAUGGGAAAAUUGAUUUUUUCUUUUGCAGUUUAAAAAAAAGGUAAGCGAAAAUCUUUUUUCUCAGAGCACAAAAAUCCACAAGUCAAAGUUGUUGGUCUAAAGGGGAAAGAAACAUUCUGAAUAUCAUUGUUUAUAGUACUAAAUAAAUUAGAUGUAAAAUGCUCGUUAAAAGCAGGUGCGUUGACAUAUAAUAAAGGAAAGACAUAAAGAGCAGGCCAUUUACGGGAAAAGUUGUCAUUCGUAAAAAUAGCAAUGCUUUACGAUUUUCUUAUCAGUCUUGCAACUAUGAGCAAAAUGGCAAUAAUUAAAAUAGUAUUUUAUUCGAAUUAUAUAUAUUUCAAUAAUUUUUUUCCAUUUAAAAAAUGAAUGAGAAAGCACAUAAGUCAAAGGAAUGGUGUAAAAGGUAAAAGAAUAACAUAUACGUACAGUAUUUAUAGUUUAUGUUCGAAGGACUGUAGUGCUAUUUUUGAAAAAUAUCCCGAAAAAUAUGUAAUCGAAACAGAACCGAUUCUUCACUAUUUAAAAUGUCAUAUCAGUGAUUGUGUUGUAACUGUUAUCCAUUGGUAUCGUAAAGUAUCAUUUUUCCAUCAAAUUUCACCUCUUUAACACCAAUUUUUCCAUAAACCAAUUCAUUUAUCGGAUAAAAUACAUGAAAAUUUGAUUUUGAAUAAAAUAGUAGCUGUUUAUGGCUUUCCUCCAUUAUAAGAACAGAGUACCCAUUUUUGCAUAAACAAAUUUAUUUAUCGGAUAAAAUAAAAAUAAAUUUAUUGUUCAAUAAAACACUAACUCUUUAUGUCUUUCCUCCAAUAUAAAAACAGAGUACUCAUUUCAGCCCCUUUAGAAAAAUUUCACCUCUUUAACACCAAUUUUCUCAUAAACCAAUUUAUUUGUCGGAUAAAAUACAUGAAAAUUCGAUUUUUCAAUAAAACACUAGCUCUUUAUGACUUUCCGCCAUUAUAAGAAUAGAGUACUCAUUUUUGCAUAAAUAAAUCUAUUUAUCGGAUGAAAUUAAAAUAAAUCCAUUGUUCAAUAAAAUACUAAUUCUUUAUGGCUUUUCUCCAUUAUAAAAACUGAGUAUCCAUUUUAGCCUCUCUAGAAAAAAAAUCUUGGCUUUGUCACUGACUGAAAUAUUUGUAACUGAGAUUUAUCCUUAGUGAAAAAAUGUAUGAUACGUAAUUUUUUCACUGUAUUGAAUUUAUAUGAUGGCAAAUUAAAUGGGUCAAUUGGAUUAGUGUGCAGCAGUUUUGUGAAUGAUUCUGAGAGUAAACUAUAUUAUGGCAAUAAAAUACAUUGAAUUGUGAAAAUUAUUAUUUCAACAUGCUCCUAAAUUUUGGAUAUGUGACUUUCGCUGUUGCGAAUAUCUUAAAUUAACAGUUAGUUAUUACUAUGAGUAAUGUGGUAAGUGUAAGUUGUGAAUGUCAGUAAUAACUGUUAGUUAAUACUAUCAGUAAAGUCAGCAGUAAAUGUGAGAUGUUAAUUGGAAAUUGCAGAUAUUAAUUUGACAUGGUUGGUUAUUAUCUGUUAGUUAAAAUUCGGGAGUUUUAAUUUUAUUGGUUAGUAGGGAAAAUGUGAGGGAAAUGUGGGAAAAACAUGAGCAUGAUUACAGGAUUUGUACGAGCAAUUAAAGGAUUAGUUGUGAGAUAAACAUUUCUUAAUUUUAGAAAUGUAAAAUUGUAAUAAAAUAGUAUUCGAACUUUUGACAAUUUGGAAAGCUCCUUAUCUAAAAUUCUCUCUGCAAUACUUAUAGACAGAUAUAGAUGUCUUUUUUUUUUGUGGUUGAAUGUCAUAUUCACGAACUAUCUGCAGAAAAAAAUAAAUUUGUAGACUAAACUAAUUUUGUUAUACCAACUCUGUUAUUCUUAUUAUUGUAUUAAUUGUUAUGCUAUUUCUCUCAUUUUGUUAGGUCUACAUUAAUGCAAGUUUAAUUCCUAUUAUGUCUUGUGUCCCAGAAAAUACAUAUUAUCCUAUUCAGGUGGAUACGUCCAACUGAUAAUCAAAUUGAUGCUAAAAAUUUAGAAUGAAUAAGUUGCUUUUGCAUAAUGGUUGGAAAGGUUUCUUGAGACGUUAUGAAUGAGGUGUCUUGCGGUUGCCAAAAGAAUUUGUAGCAUAUUUUUGUAUUGGAAAUGGAGUUAAAACUUGCUAUGGGUUACUUUUCUGUAUUUCAAUUUCAUCGUAAAGGGUAAUUUAUUGUUCAACCUAAUUGCAUUCUGAUUUUAUCUAACUAAUAAAUUAACGUAUGAAAAUAGAUAAUUUAUGGAGGAAAGCCAUAAGUAGCUGAUGCUUUAAUGAAAAAUGGAUUUAUUUUUAUUUUAUCCAAUAAAUAAAUUUAUUUAUGAAAAAUGGGUACUCUAUUCUCAUAAUGGAGGAAAACCAUAAAGCUAGUGUUUUAUUGGAAAACAGAUUUAAUUUUAUUUUAUCCGAUAAAUAAAAUUUUUAUAUGCAAAAAUGGGUACUGUAUUCUUAUAACGGAGGAACGUGAUAAAGAGGUAGUAUUUUAUUGAAAAAUGAGUUUAUUUUUAAUUUAGCCGAUAAAUAAAUUUUUUAAUGACAAAAUGGGUACUUUGUUCUUAUAAUGGAGAAAAUUCAUAAAGAGUUAGUGUUUUAUUGGAAAACGGAUUUCAUUUUAGUUUAGUCGAUAAAUAAAUUUUGUUUAUGCAAAAAUCGAUACUGUGUUCUGAUAAUGGAGGAAAGUGCUAGAGUUAGUAUUUUAUUAAAAAAUGGGUUUAUUUUAAGUUUAGGCGAUAAAUAAAUUUUUGUGAGAAAAUGGGUACUUUAUUCUUAUAAUGGAGAAAUAUCAUAAAGAGCUGGUGUUUUAUGAAAAAACAGGUUUAUUUUUAUUUUAUCCGAUAAAUAAAAUUUUAAAUUUUUGAUGAGGAAAAUGGGUACUGUGCUCUUAUAAGGGAGAAAAGUCAUAAAGAGCUAGUGUUUUAACCUUAAAUCGGUUUUUAUUUUAUUUUAUUUUAUCCAUUAAUUUUUUUAGGGAAAAAUGAGUACUCUGUUCUUAUAAUGGAGGAAAGGCAUAAAGAGCUAGUGUUUUAUUGCAUAAAAGGUUUAUUUUUUUUCAUCCAAUAAAUAAAUUUUUUAAGGGAAAACAGGUGUUAAAGAGGUGGUAUUGGAUGAAAAAAUGAUACCUUAGAAUACCAAUGGAUAACAGUUAAAACACAAUCACAGAUCUGGUAUUUUAAAUAAUGAAGAAUCGGUUCCGUUUGCAUUGCAUAUUUUUCGGGGUAUUGUCAAAAACAGCACUGUAGUCCUUCGAACGUGAAAUACAAGUACUGUACAUAUCUGCUAUUCCUUUCUCUUUUAGACCAAUCCUUUUGACUUAUGUGCUUUCUGAUAAAAAAUUUCAAUUAUUUUUUUUAAUUUGCAAAAAAUAAAUUAAUUCUGUAUAAAUCGAAAAGAUUACUAUUUCAAUUAUUGGCACUUUGCUCAUGUUUUGGAGGACUGGUAAGAAAGCCGUGAAGAGCUGGAAUUUUUAUUAAUGAAGCCUUUUUCCAUAAAUGGCCUGAUUUUUAUGACUUUCCUUUAUUAUAUGUCAAAGUACCAGUUUUUAACCAGCAUUUUACAUCUAUUUAUUUGGUACUUUAAACCAUGCUAUUCAGCUGUAUCUUUCCAUUUCAGACCAAUUAUUUUGACUUGUGGAAUUUGGUGCUCCGUGCAAAAAAAAUUUCGCUCACUUUUUUUUUUAAACUGCAACAGAAAAAAUUUAAUUAUGUAUAAAUUUAAAAAAUACUAAUUUUUUCACAUACAAUCAAGUAUUUAUACAAGUAUAUUAACAUUACUUACUAAGUAAGGUACUCAAUUUUAAUCAUUAAUAAAACAUUUUAGUGUUAUUUUAAAUAACAAUAAAAUAUGGGCUUGGCAUAAGUUUUUUAAGCAUAAUAGAGAAUUUUUGCCAUAAAUUAGCAUGUUUUUGUCAUUAAUCAAAUUUACUAUGUUAUAAGUAAAAAUGAUUAUUUAUGUAGAAAAACAUACUAUUACUUCAAAUAAACUUAUUCCCUCAAAAGUAUAUUGAGGAUAAAAAUUGUAAUUUAUCUCUUUAAAAAGUAUGUUUCGUAAUACUUUCAAUUCACGUUUUGGGCUGCAAAAAUUACUAGUUUAUUACGUUAACUUACUAUUUUAGAUGACAAACUUACUUCCUUAUUUUUACGCAUAAUCCUAUUCAAGUGAAUAAGUCCAACAGGUAAUCAAAUGGUUGCUAAAUUUAUUAUAACCUAUUAUAAUAAGUUUUUUUUACCAUGACGAUAGUCAUGGGACCAUUUUCCCGGAUGCUUAAGCUGAACACUUGGUCACUAAAUUUAUAUAUGUAUAUAAAUAUAAUGAAGGCUUGAAUCCUUUCGUUUACCUCCACUUUUCCUUUUUCCAAAUUAUUAUCCCCCACGCAUGUGCGAUAAUCAUUUAUUAUUUCUUAAAAUUUCGGUACCUUCUUUACGCACAUUUUUUGUCCAAGGCAUUUGCAACAUUUUUCCAGUCGUAAUGGGUACAUUUACAAAUACAUAAAUGCCUCUGGUUUUAACAUGCAAAAACACUUCCUGCCCCAACUCGUACGGAAGUUAGUGUGUUUUUUGGUUGCAUCCGCAGACGGUUCUCGUAUAUAUCCUCUCCAUGCGCUGUACAACAAUUUAACUGUCUCCGACUUCCUACCAUAGGCAGGUUCCCACCAUAAAGGUAUCCCUUUCAAGUCCCUGCUGCAUCAAUUGCCAUCAAUUGCUAUAGUACAGUUGGAGGUGUACUAGUCAAAACGCUUCUCUGUAGCGCCGCACAUCUGAUGUGCGGUUAAAGAAAAAACUUUUCCAAACCGUCACAAAUCAGAUGUGCGGUUAUGGGAAAAACAUAUUUUAAUUCAUUGGCCGCAAAUUAGUAUUGCGACAAAAGAUUUAAAAAACAUUUUUUUCUUGCUCCUUCAAAUCAUGACCCUUGAUCAUAUGUUAAUCAAUGGUCCAUUUUUGGCUAAAAUAAAAAAAAUGCAACCGAAAAUCUUAACUUAAAAAAUUCUUAAGCUGCGGAAGAAAAUGAAAAAAUAAAUCAGACAAUCUUUAAGUCGAUAUUGUGAUUUGCGCCGACCCUUAUGAUAGACAAACUCCCUACAAAACACUACUUUUGUGAUAAUUUUUUAUUUUAACAUUAUUCCAAAAAAUUUGCCCAAAUUUGCCCAAAUUUUACCCAAAUUAUCCAAAUUUUAUUGCAAAUUGGAUAAAUUGGAUAAUUGAUUUUAACAUUAUUCCGAGAAUAAUGUAGGUAAAUUAAAUUUUAGGCUUCCAUGGUUUGGGUUUACAUAUUCGGGUUUUAGUGCUAGGGUUUAGGGAUUAGGAUUCUAGAGUUAGGGUUAGGAUUUUAUGAAAAUAAAUAAAUAAAUAAAGGAAUCGCCACACAUGAGCUUUGCGGUGAUACUUUUUUAAUAUAAUAUUCUUCGCCGCUAAUGCUUUUGCAAAAAAAAAAAAAACCGCUCCAUUAAAUUCGUUGGCAAAAAAAAAAAAAAAUUUAAAACAAUUUUUUUAUGAAACCCAACUUCUUAUUUGCGGCGACCCUUUAGGUAAAAACACCCUUCAACUAACACCACUUUUAUGAUAAUUUUUAGUUUUAACAUUAUUCCGAGAAAUUCGCCGCACUGGCUGUGCAUAGCAUAGCCCACCCCUAUUAGUACUACUAGAAAGUAGACAAAAUUUUUUUUUACGGCAAUGAUAACAUUUUUAUAACAUUAUCUAUCAUAAUCUAUAUGGAGGGGAGUAUAAAGAGACUGUGUAUAAGGGGUUAGAAAGUAUAAGAAUCUGACUAGACCAAAAGGAUACUCUGACACCUCAUUUGAAUUUUUUUCACUGCAAGUGGGGUUCAAACCUCCAACCUACGGCCCAAGUGGAGUUCGAACCUCCGACUUACGGUGAAAAAAGAGACUUAUAAUUCCUUUUUUUUUCACUACAGACCAUCUUUUUUUUUUUUUUUUUUUAAGAGGAGAAAGUAGUCUUGAUGAUGGCAUCAAAAUUCAAUGCCCCUUCCAUUUCAUUUCCACCCUACUUCCAUGCUAGUACUGCAUGCUGCCCGGUUGCUAUCUUUCUAUAUAAAGUCCUCGCACCUUUUCUACCUAAAUGGCUCCUACUAUCUAAUUCAACCAUUUCUUAGCAUCAGUUUAGUAUAUUGCUGCCUACAUCCCUUCCCCAAUCACCCCCUCCUCCCCCCAGGAACAAGAAAAAAAAGGAAAAAAACUUCCAUUUCCAACAUUUAUCAUUUGGGCUGUUGAUCAGAUCCACCCAUCGCCACUGACUUGACUCUUUCCUUCAUCAACUAUGGCUGAGAAGGUAAGCCAAUUCUCUUGUUUUGCAUCUUUUUUUUUUCCUCUUUUAGUGUUUGCUCAAUCUGAAAAUUUUAAUUGCAAGUCUAUGACAGCACAUACAACGUGAGAUAUGCUUGCUUCUCUUUAUAUCAAGAUCUGUACCCACAUCUCUCAGCGUAAAACUAGUAGUACCAUAUAAUUGUGCAUCUUAAUUUUGCAUUUCCUAAUUGUUAUAUAUAUAUAUAUAUAUAUAUAUAUAUAUAUAGAGUGACGGAGCUAGGAUUUUUUUUCUAAGAGAUCAAAAUUUUUCAUAACAAAAUUAUCUCAAUAUAUUAUGUUCAAAAUGAUUUCCACACACACAUAUAUAAACUCUCACAAUAUAAACUAAAAUUAUAAAAAAAUUAAAAAGAUCAACUUUAAUUUUACACAUAUAUCUACAUAUUAUGAAUUAAAAUUUUUAAAACUUAAGGAGCCAUGGCCCAUCAGCCCCUUGGCUUCGUCAUUAUAUAUACAUAUGGAUCGAGUUUGACUAUUUUGCUCCGAUAAUAUAUAUGCAACCAUACAGGUGACUACAAUGAGACUCGAGGUUGAUCUUCAAUGCUCCUGCUCCUACAAGGUCAAGAAAUUCCUCUGCAAAUUUCCUCGUGAGUCUCUUAUAAUUAUCAAUUCUAUCUCUUAUGUUUUCAAUACCAGUAUUACUAGUAGUAGUUCUUCUUUAGAGCAAGCACAGUUGGAUGGAGGACAUCCACCGUUCCACCGACUACAUACAUGGCUAGGCAUGUGUGCCACCAUGGGCUACAGUUUUUUUUUUCCCCUUCUCCAUGAUUAAACAACAAAAGCUGGGUAGUGUGGCUUACGAAACUACUAGUGAUCAGUUAGUGGCUUUAAUUUGUAUGGACAAGAAUUUGAGUUUUUUUUUUUUUUUGGGUGAUGCUCAAUUUUUUUGGACAAGAGAAAUCCAAGACCAGGUAUAUGAUGAGAAGCAAAAUCUGGUGACCAUCACCGUGGUGUGCUGUAGCCCCGAGAAAAUCCGCGACCAAUUAUGUUGCAAGGGUGGUAAAGUCAUUAAGAGUAUUGAGAUCGUGGAGCCACCAAAGCCUAAAGAGCCCGAAAAGCCCAAGCCACCACUUGCAGUGGCGGUCUGCUGUGUCCUAUGUUCGGAAGGGUACGGAGGGGGACGAUGCUGCUGC